Molecule: long non-coding RNA, 71443 nt
Filed under: Triticum aestivum (bread wheat)
Lineage: Eukaryota; Viridiplantae; Streptophyta; Magnoliopsida; Poales; Poaceae
Description: long non-coding RNA (TAES_LNC023101)
Rfam family: tRNA (bases 34962-35030)
Source: RNAcentral
CACAGCCCGUGGCUGGUACACCGAUGGCAUACAUGAUCACAACAACAACGAUGAGUAGGAAACUGGUUGUCCUCAUGGCGUAUAAACUUUGCGAUGAUGAAAAUUUUGGUUUGCUAGUGAGGUUUUGGAGCUUGAGAUAACGAGUCAGUUUAUGUGGGGCUCUGGUGAACUGGCAAUGUGAGUGGUUCCACAACAAUCGAGAUGGGGGUGGUUAAAUAGACAUCACUAUAGGAGGCAAACAUUACUUGGAUGCAUAUCCAAACAUGAAUUUAAAAUGGCAUUUAUGACAACAUUUUACUAUGUUUAUCCAAACAUUACUUAGAUGCAUAUCCAAACAUGAAUUUAAAACAACAUUUUACUGCGAACAUUAAUUGGACACAUACCAAAAUAUAGGCAUUUUGAAUGAGAUUGACUGCAAGAUUUUAUUGGGUGUGACGGUUAGACAAAUAUUCAACAAUUAGUCUAAUGUUGUAUCUAUUACUACUUUUGUUUCAGUAUUAAUUGGUAUACACCCAAAAAGGCGUCUAGAAGGAGACUAAUCAGAUCAGAAAUUUAAUUGGAAUGGAUAGUAUUAUCCUGGAAUGUUGGAAUAUUUGGGUCAAAGAAAUGGGAAAAAUCUUAAAAAGUGAAGUAGGCUAAUAUGCUCUACCGCUAGAGAAGGUGGUAGUAGCCACUUGUCAUGUAAGAGUUGUCAGUGAACCUGGACUAGGUGCUACACUAGUGCAGAACCGGGCUAUAGCCCCGGUUCGUAAGGGGCUUUAGUGCCGGUUCUGUAACCGGCACUAAAGGGUGGGGACUAAAGCCCCCCCCCCACCUUUAGUACCGGUUCGGCUCGAACCGCAGCUAAAGGGCCACCACGUGGCAUGAGCCAGGCCCGGGUGUGGGGAGAGCGUUAGUACCGGUUGGUGUUACCAACCGGUACUAAAAAGUUUGAGGGGUUUUGGUUUUAUUAUUUAUUUUUUCUUUAAUUUUGUGUUUUCCAUUUAAUUCUUUUUCGUUUGUUCGUAUUUUAUGAUACUACAUAUUGUACACGUUAUGCAUAUAUAUAAAUAGAAUUUCUCGUAGAACCAUUAUAUAUAUAUAUAUAUAUAUAUAGGGUGGGUCUAUUAUGAUAACACCCCUUAAGACCUUAUUCUGCACACCAAAACGCUUAUUCUGCUAACACUAGCAACCGAACCACAUGCAACGAGCGAACCCCCACCACCUCUCCCGCAUACACCCCUCGUCCACAAGUCCACAAGCCGACUGCCCCGGCUCAUCUUCUCUGCCCCCAACUCCGAGCCCUGCUCCGCCGUUGUACACCACCCCGUCGCGCCCCUGCAGCUCGCCUCACCCCACACCUCCACCUUCCACCUCCCUCCACCUCCUUCCUCUCCCACCAACCACCUACCCCCGCUACCUCCAGCACGCCACCGCCCACAUCGGGCCAUCCCCUGCCAUCCAACCACUUGAUCCGAGAUGUGCUGACCCCACGCCACCAGAUCCGGGCAGUCCCGUCUCCCGGCGAUGCCCUGCGCCGCUGGAUCGGCCCCAACAAGCUAUGCUCCUCCUCCUCUAUGCCCUGCACUGUGCCAACCGCCGACCAAGACACCACCCUGCGAGUUCCUGGUCGUGGAAUCCCCUGUCCUGAGCUUGAGCACUACUCCAAGUCCGGCGCGUGGCUGCCGCCAUGUAACCGCAUCGGCGCCCCACCUCCCCAUCCACCCAAUCUCAUCAUUGAUCCAGCCAGGCCCGAAGGGAGGAGAGCGGCCGGCUCUCUUCCUCCUUUCCGGCGAGGCCUGGGCGCCCCCUCCUCCGGCGCGGAGCAGCCACACCGAAUCCCGACACUCGCCGCCACCACCUUCGCUCUACACCGCGCUUGGAUCCGGGCCACCACUGCCGACGCCGCGCCCCUGGCUUCCCCACUUCCCCUCUGAACAUGCAGUGCGGGCGACUAUGGUGUGUAGUGCAGCCCGCCCGGCGUGCAGCUCGGCCCCCGCCCCUGCGUGCAGCUCGCUCCCCACCCAGGCCUGCGAGCACCCUCGACCUCCGGCAGUGCUCUUCCCAUGGCGCACCAGCAGGCUGAUUCUACAGCCAGAUCCGGCAGUUGCCGUCUCCCUGGUCCUUCUCUUCGUCCUCUCCGGUGGUGGUGGCAUGGCAGGGCUCUCCGGCAGCCAGCUCCGGGUCGUUUUGCCAUGUUUUGUCCCCUGCCACUCAUCCAUCCCCCUUCUCUCUGUUUUGCAGGUCCGGCCCCCCGGCGGCAUUCCAUGUAACCACCACGACGAGCGGCUGAACCCGCACCCCAGAUCCAUCUCUUUGAGUGCUUAGCGGCGAGCUCCAUGGCGCGGGAUCCCCAUCCCAUCGGUUAUCUCUUCUCCCUUCCCCUCCGCUCCUCUCCGGCGAGCUCUCACUAAUGUGCUGCCUGCUAUUCAAAUUUUUCCAGGCUUGAAGUUCACUGGGUACAGACAGGAUGACCAUGACGAGUCGUUUGGGGGAACGCCCACUUGAAGUGUUCAGCCGGCGGAACGCCCGCUCAUGAUGACAAACACUCGGACAAAGUUUUGCAUUUUUGUAGAAGUUCAUUUUGCCAUGUGCAGCUAUUCAUGUUUCUCGGGCGUGCAGUACACUGAGUUUUGUAAAAAAAUAAGGGACUACUUGCAGAACAUGUUGCAAAUUCUUGCAGUUUUGGCAAUCGAUUUUAUCUAUUGUUCGGUGCAAAUUGAGCUCCUGGCUGAUCAAUUCAGUGCGAUGCAGUGCGGUGUGCCUGUUCGCUUAGUUCGACACUCUUCUUGCUUCUUGGGAUGUUCUUCUAGUGAACCUCUUGUUUUCUAAAAACUGCCCACUAUUGGUAGUAAUGUGGUUCACUUCCAUGUAUGUCGAGGUUUAUUUGCACUCGUCUCUGCGGUCCACUCUCGUUUAUAAAAAGAAAACAAAAACUUGUUCGAGAAAAUGUACGUCCAACAAAAAGAAAUCAUGAAGUUCACUUGACUUUCUGAUGCAGUGCGGUUUUCUAUUCGAAGCAGUGCGUUCUUUCAUAAAAAAUGACGACAAAAACUCACAAAAGCUCACCUGAGAAAAUUUACGCCCGACAAGAAAAUCAUGAAGUUCGCUUGACUCUUUGAUGUAGUGCGCUUUUCCGUCUAAAAGCAGUGCGGUUUUCUUCCUCGUCUUCAAAAAUUUAUGUCCCACAAAAAGGAAACCAUGCAGUUCUCUUGCUCGUUUAAUGCAGUGCGGCAUUUCGUCCGAUGCAGUGCGGUUUUCAGUCGGAUGAAGUACGCACGUCGAUUUGGGUGUCGCGAAAAACAGAGUGUCCGCACUUCGGUAAAUUUAAAACUGCUCUUAAACCGUAACGAAUUAGAGAGAGUGUUCUACAUGAAAAAGUUGCGUCUCGUCGAUAUCUUUCCAACGGCGUAUGAUUUGAAUUUUUUGACCAGCCGUUCGUAAAAAUUUCGCGAAAAACAGCCGCUUCCCUCUCGAAUUCAGCCGCACGAUUUUCAAAAUUAACUAAAAAUUGUAAGGAAUCUCAAAACCAUUUCAACAUAUGAAAGUUGCGCCUUGUCCGUAGCUUUCCAACGGCGUAUCAUACGUCUCGUUUCGACAAACGGUUAGAAAACUGGAGCAAAAACAGUACCGAAAAUUUUAAAAAAUUUGAAAAACAGAGUUCCGCGAUUUAGUAAAUUUGAAACUGCUCUUAAACCGUAAUGAAUUAGAGAAAGAUUUAUAUAUGAAAAAGAUGCGCCUCGAUGAUAUCUAUCCAACGGCGUAUCAUUUGCUUCAUUCCGACAAGCGGUUUAGAAAAAAACGUGAAAAAACGCUCGCUGCCACUCGUCAUCCGCCGCACUAUUUUCAAAACUACUCUUAAACCGUGUGGAAUCUCAAAAAGUGUUCAACAUGUCGAAGUUGCGCCUAGUCCAUAGCUUUUCAACGGUAUAUUACACGCCUCAUUCCAAUAAACGGUUAAAAAAUUAGAGCAAAAACAGUACCGAAAAAAUAACGCGUGCAGUUUUUUCCGACGAGAAGUUCACUAGUCUCUAUUGCAGUGCUCGUCGUCAAAAUGAUGCAGUGCGCUUCUGUUGAGCGUGCAGUGCCGAAGUGGUGUGCAAAAUAGUUAUUCUGUUAAUAUUAGCAGAAUAGACCGUCUGUAUAUAUAUAUAUAUAUAUAUAUAUAUAUAUAUAUAUAUAGUUUUUUCUACAUGUAGCCUUUCAGAGCCAGUGGCAUUUGCCUUGGUGCCUUCGGAGCACAAUGACAAUUGGGAGUAAUUCAUUGGGGCGGUAGCGGGUAGUAGAAUUCCCCUUUGGGAUCUAUGACCUCGUCGAACAAAAAUCCCGCUAUUUCCUCUUGAAGUGCUCAUAUGCGCUCCUCUGGUAGGAGCGUCUCCCGCACCGAUUCGAACUGUUAAGAAGGAGAUCAAUAUGCAUGUGUAUUAGUUAUGUGACUAGAAAUCGAUAAUGACGUAAAAAAUGUCAAUAGUGUUCUGUCAAGCGCGCGUACCCAUAGCUGUCUCUCAGUUUUGGUCCUUUCGGGCGUCAUCAUGCGAAUGUUCUCGAAAAUGCAGUAUGCACAAUGAUCUCUCCCCUGCGCCUGCUUCAGGGCCUUUACGAGAAUAGAAUUUUAUCAGAUAAUAAUUAACCAAGCAUGAUAAUUAAUGGUAUUGAAACUAGAAUUAAAGAGAUGCAUGGUAGCUAGCUAGCUAGUACUACUUAAUUAAUUAUACCUUGGGUGAAAACCAAUACAGCUUUUCUCUCCAUUCGCCCGGAACCUCUUUCGAAUUCCUAAACUUUUCCCAAGCCCUGUCUGAUGAUGUUAUGUACCUAGGAUAGUGUCAUGGACCUGUCUAAGCUACCCUACCCAAGGACAUCUCUAGAAGAAACUACCUGUCAGUCAACCUAGAGGUGACCCACUCGACGUACUCUAGGACACUCGACGAUGAAGAUAACCACUCGACCAUGAAGCUAACCACUCGACGGUCAGGAGACCUAAAGUCACUCUGCACGCAACGGUCUGUCAUUAAGUAGCUUUAAUAGUCUUCAUAGCACUUUAUGUGGGCGUUACCAGUAACCCCCUGUCUUAAUGUACUUUAAACCCUGCAUAAUUGAGGGCCGGAGGAGUCUGACGAACUCUAUAUAAGCCACCCCCCUCCUUAGUGUAAAGGGUUCACACCCCUGUAAUUCAUACACAUAUAAUCCAGUCGACCGCCUCCAGGCUCCGAGACGUAGGGCUGUUACUUCCUCCGAGAAGGGCCUGAACUCGUAAAUCUCUCGCGUAUACAACUACUCCAUAGCUAGGAUCUUGCCUCUCCAUACCUACCCCCUUUCUACUGUCAGACUUAGAACCACGACAGUUGGCGCCCACCUUGGGGCAGGUGUCUUAGCGACUUAUUGGAGAAGUUGCAAUUUUUCCGGUUUCUUUCAUCAUGGUUUCAGGCGGAGUUUUGGUCGAGGGCCGCGAGAUCCGUCUUGGCGUGCUCACGUUCAUCGCCAACGACUCUGCUUGGCUUCAGGAGGCUCCACUCGACAUCGACGCGCUCCCGGUCCGCGGAGCGACACACUUUCGCGCGUGUGUCCACGGCAUCCUCCUGAGGCAACCGUCGACCCAGUAUCGGUCGGUCGUCGUGUCAUCCUCCCUCCUUGCUUCCCGCCGGCGCAAGCGCUUCGGUCGGUCGAGGCUUCAGCGGUGGGUGAGGCACGCGGUGGCUCGCCAGUUGACCACCCCCCAAGUUGCGGCUAUCGAGCCCGACGAAUCUCUCUACGGCCUGUUCGACCUGCGACUGGCUCCGUAGAGACUGCAUCCGAGUGCGACAUCAGUGAUCCAGCGGCGGAGGUUCUGAUGGUCAAUGGACCGCGCAGUCCCCCCGGCUUCCCCCGUGCUGACGGAGGCGACGGCGGAGGCGACCCAGCGCAGGUCCACGAGGAGUAUCAACCCGAGCCACUCACUUCGCUGCAAAGAGAAGAUCUUCACCGCCGGAACAUGGAUGCGCUGCAUACUCCUAUCAUUGGAGAAACCCCCGAGGCUCGCGCCUUGGAGGAUGUGCGUUUGGCCAACCUGGCUGAGCGCACUCGACUGGAGAACCUCCAGCAAGCACUCGACGAAUGUGCGUGGCAACGGGCCCCGGACUCCAGUCGACGCCAGCUCUUUCCACCACCUAUUUAGGUAUAUCGGACUCCGAUCCAAAAUUUAGCAGCUGCAACCCGUAUAGCAGAGUCAAUUCAGCCUUCCCGGUCAGAGGCUGGCAGAGGCUUGAUGCAGAUCAGAGAUUUGCUCCGGGUGGCAGGAGAUCAAAAUUCAGCCGUAUCAUAGUCACGGAACAGGAUUCACAGCAGAUCCGUCGCUGCGAAUUCAGUCCAGUCGGCCCAUAGCCCAAGAUCGCCCCCGCGGCAUGAAGGACGUGGAGGUCGACGUGAUCAGUACGAUGACCGAUUCGACCGCGACGAUCGGCGUCGAGUGCCCACUCCUCCCCCAAGGGGUGGGUCGUACGCCCCUCGACAGCAAGAUGACAGGCGCCAGCACAGUGUUGGAAGAAGGGUUCCAGUCGACCCCAGAGAAUCGGGCUUUGAUGCGAGAUCCAUUAUUGUUCAGGGUUUGGUCGACCGGAACAGAACUCACCGAGACGGUCAUGAUAGAGAUGCGCCCACCAGCAACAGAGUUCAUGUUGCAGGACCAGAGUGUUUUAGCAGAGCCAUCAGAGCCGCGGUGAUCCCUCCCAACUUCAGGUUGGCGACUAGAGUUAGUAAGUUUACUGGUGAGUCCAAGCCCGAUACUUGGCUUGAGGACUACCGAGUGGCUGUGCAGAUUGGCGGCGGCAAUGAUGAGGUGGCCAUGAAACAUCUACCUCUUAUGUUGGAAGGAUCGGCCAGAGCAUGGUUGAAUUAGUUGGCACCAAGCAGCAUUUACACUUGGGAAGAUCUUGCCCGAGUGUUUGUCAGGACAUUUGAAGAAACUUGCAAGCGACCGGCAGGUUUGACAGAGCUGCAGGUUUGCGUGCAAAAGUCGAAUGAGACCCUAAGGGACUACAUCCAGAGGUGGAUCACAUUACAUCACAAAGUGGAGAAUGUAUCUGAUCACCAAGUAGUCUGUGCCUUCAAGGAAGGCGUUAAGAAGAGGGAGUUAAGUUUGAAGUUCGGUCGGACCGGAGACAUGACUCUGAGUCGAAUGAUGGAAAUUGCCACCAAAUAUGCCAAUGGUGAAGAAGAGGACCGACUCCGGAGUGGCAAGUACAAGCCGACUGCUCAUGAAACUGGAGGAGGGAACUCCAGUCGGAAGCAGAAGCAGAAAGCCGAGCCAGCUGCUCCUCGAGAAGCCUUGGCCGUGACUCAGGGCAAGUUUAAAGGAAAGCCCAAAGGAUCUUGGAACCCCAAGAAGGUGAAGGACAAGGAAGGAAACGACGUGAUGGAUUUACCAUGCCACAUCCACACGAAGAAAGACGAGGAGGGUAACUUCAUUUACCCGAAACAUACCACUCGCCAGUGUUGGCUCUUAAUCCAGUAGUUUCAGGGGAAACAACCCAAGGAUAAGGAAAAAGAGUCAGACAAGAUUGAGGACAAAGAGGACAGUGAUGGAGGAUACCCCCAUGUCAAUUCCACCCUGAUAAUUUUUGUUGAUGUUGAGAGCAAAAGUCGAUUGAAAGUUAUCAACCGUGAGGUAAAUAUGGUUGCUCCGGCGACACCCAGUUAUCUGAAAUGGUCCCAGACCGCCAUCACGUUCGACCAGUCUGAUCAUCCGACACACAUAGCCACCCCUGGGAGGCAAGCUUUGGUGGUCAACCCAGUCAUCGAAGGCACUCGACUGACUAAGGUUCUGAUGGAUGGCGGCAGCGGCCUGAAUAUAUUGUAUGUGGAGACGCUGAAGGGAAUGGGCAUUCCGAUGUCCAGACUCAGUUCCAGCAACAUGAGUUUCCAUGGAUUCAUUCCUAGGAAGAAGGUUGAGUCACUUGGCCAAAUUGCUCUUGAUGUGAUUUUCGGCGAUUCAAAGCAUUUCCGCAAAGAAAAGCUGACAUUUGAGGUUGUGGAUUUCCAGAGUGCCUAUCACGCUAUUUUGGGCAGGCCAGCUUAUGCACGUUUUAUGGCUCGACCAUGUUAUGUGUACCUCAAAUUGAAAAUGCCCGGCCCCAAAGGUGUGAUCACUGUUACUGGUAAUCGCAAGAAGGCGGAAGAGUGCUUUCAGAAGGGCUCAAAGAUUGCCGAUGCUCAGAUGGUAGCAAAAGAGUGGCGGGAACACUAGAAAAAUGCAGACCCGAGUGAUUUGUUGCGAGCUAAGAAGCCUGCUACAGAGUCGGUGUUUCAAUCGUCCGGUGAGACAAAGCUAGUUCACAUCCACCCGACCGACCCCAACAUUGCCCUGACUCAUAUCUCCACAACACUCGACUCUAAAUAGGAAGAAGCGCUCAUCCAGUUCCUCCGUGAGAACUGGGACAUCUUCGCAUGGAAGCCUGCUGACAUGCCGGGUGUUCCCAGGGGGCUGGCUGAGCAUCGUCUAUGAGUCGACUCAAAAGUAAAACAUGUCAAAGAACAUAUUCGAUGGUCUGCCGUCCAGAAGAGAAAGGCCAUUGGCGAGGAGGUGGCUCGGCUCCUAGCAGCAGAGUUUAUCCGAGAAAUUUACCACUCCGAGUGGCUCGCCAAUGUUGUCAUGGUCCCCAAGAAGGACAAGUCACUUAGCAUGUGCAUUGAUUUCAAACAUAUCAAUCGGGCCUGCCUGAAAGAUCAUUUUCCUCUCCCCCGCAUCGACCAAAUAGUCGACUCAACUGCGGGAUGUGAGUGCCUGUCUUUUUUAGACGCUUAUUCUGGUUACCAUCAGAUCCGUUUGUAUGGACUCGACGAAAUCAAAACAGCUUUCAUCACUCGAUUCGGGUGCUUCUGCUAUGUCACCAUGCCAUUCGGCCUCAAGAAUGCUGGAGCCACGUUCAUGAGGAUGAUUCAGAAGUGUUUACUCACUCAAAUCAGUCGGAACGUGGAAGCAUACAUGGAUGAUAUUGUGGUCAAAUCACGGAAGGGUUCCGAUCUGUUGACUGACCUCGCUGAAACAUUUGCCAAUCUCAGGAGGUAUGAUAUCAAGCUUAGUCCAUCAAAGUGCACAUUCGGAGUUCCUGGUGGAAAGUUACUCGGUUUUCUCGUUUCCGAACGAGGAAUCGACACCAACCCAGAAAAAGUUGGCACUAUACUCCGAAUGAAACGCCCUGUGCGUGUGCAUGAUGUCCAGAAGCUUACUGGUUGCUUGGCCGCGUUAAGUCGAUUCAUCUCUCGCCUCGGUGAAAAGGCAUUGCCUCUUUACCGACUGAUGAAGAAGUCAGACAAGUUCGAAUGGACUCCAGAAGCUGAUGCAGCGUUUGCAGAGCUAAAAGCUCUGCUCUCCACCCAGCCGGUGCUUGCUGCUCCAAUCAGCAAAGAGCCUUUGUUGCUUUACAUUGCAGCCAUAGGACAAGUUGUCAACACAGUACUUACGGUCGAGCGGGAAGAAGAAGGGAAAUCCUUCAAAGUUCAAUGCCCAGUAUAUUAUCUUUCCGAAGUGUUGACCCCAUCGAAGCAAAGAUACCCUCAUUAUCAGAAGCUUGUAUAUGGGAUUUACAUGACCACGAAGAAGGUUGCUCAUUAUUUCUCUGAUCAUUCCAUUACAGUCGUCAGCGACGCCCCAUUGUCAGAGAUUCUGCACAACAGAGAUGCAACUAGUCGAGUGGCAAAAUGGGUGAUUGAACUCCUUCCCCUUGAUAUCAAGUUUGAGGCAAAGAAAGCCAUUAAGUCGCAUGCAGUAGCAGAUUUCAUCGCCGAGUGGGUUGAACAGCAACUACCGACUCAAGUUCACUCGGAGCAUUGGACCAUGUUCUUUGACGGUUCUAAGAUGUUGAAUGUUUCCGGUGCUGGGGUAGUUUUGGUUUCCCCCCGAGGAGAUAAGCUCAGAUAUGUGCUCCAGAUCCACUUUGAUUCCUCCAACAAUGAAGCAGAAUAUGAAGCACUUUUGUAUGGGUUGCGCAUGGCCAUCUCACUCGGCGUCCGUCGCCUUAUGGUUUAUGACGACUUAGAUUUGGUGGUCAAUCAGGUGAUGAAGGAGUGGGACGUCAGAAGCCCAGCCAUGACUGGUUACUGCAAUGCAGUAAGAAAGCUGGAAAAGAAAUUCGAGGGGUUAGAGCUUCAUCAUAUACCCCGACUGAAGAAUCAAGCAGCCAAUGAUUUGGCAAAGAUAGGUUCCAAGAGAGAAGCCAUUCCCAGUGGUGUGUUUUUGGAACAUAUCCUCGCGCCGUCAGUUAAAGAGGACCCUUUCACCGAAGAAGCCCCCAGCCGAAAAGUACCAUGGAUCCAACUGAAGUCGAGGUCCCAGCCGUGGUCGACCUGAUCAUGGAAGUUUUGGUUAUCACUCCCGACUAGACAGUGCCUUACAUUGCAUAUAUCCUAAGGAAAGAGCUCCCAGAGAAUGAAGAAGAGGCUCGACAGAUCGUCUGUCAAUCCAAGGCCUUUACUGUCAUAAAGGGACAGUUGUACAGAGAAAGCGCGACUAGAGACAGUCAGAAAUGCAUAACGCCGGAAGAGGGUCAAAUAAUUCUCAACGACAUCCACUCGGGGACCUGUGGCCAUCAUGCAUCCUCUCGGACUAUUGUGGCUAAAGCAUACCGAGCGGGAUUUUACUGGCCAAGAGCAAAUGAAAUGGCAAAGGAGAUAGUCGACAAGUGUGAAGGAUGUCAGUUUUACUCCAAUAUGUCACACAAGCCCGCCUCAACCUUGAAGACCAUUCCACUCGUCUGGCCUUUCGCUGUAUGGGGAUUGGAUAUGGUCGGACCACUGAGAACAGGAAGAAGCGGCUUCACCCAUGUGCUAGUGGCAGUUGACAAGUUCACUAAGUGGAUUGAAGCUAAACCCAUCAAGAAUCUUGACGCCGGCACUGCUGUCAGCUUCAUCAGGGAGUUGAUAUUCAGAUAUGGAGUUCCACAUAGCAUCAUCACUGAUAAUGGGUCAAACUUCGAUUUCGAAGAAUUCAGAGCCUUUUGCACAUCUCAGGGCACACGAGUCAACUAUGCUUCAGUCGCUCACCCCCAGUCGAAUGGACAGGCAGAACGAGCAAAUGGUUUAAUUCUCAAAGGGUUGAAACCCCGACUGAUGCGCGAUCUCAAGCACAUGGCCGGUGCAUGGGUCGACGAACUUCCGUCAGUACUUUGGGGAUUAAGGACCACACCUAAUCGAUCGACUAGGAGAACUCCGUUCUUCUUGGUCUAUAGAGCCGAAGCUGUCUUGCCAAGUGACCUGCUUCACAACGCACCCGAGUCGAACUCUACACUGAAGAUGAAGCAGAGCAAGCCCGACAAGACGCAGUCGACCUCCUAGAAGAAGAAAGAGAGAUGGCAAUGAUCCGAUCAACUAUUUAUCAACAGGACUUAUGUCGUUUCCAUGCCAGAAACGUCAAGAGUCGAGCCUUCCAAGAAGGAGAUUUGGUUCUCCGAGUGGAUCAGCAGAAGCCACACAAGCUUGCUCCUACUUGGGAAGGUCCCUUCAUCAUUACCAAAGUUCUCCACAAUGGAGCAUACCGCCUUUACAAUGUUGGUCACCAGAUUGACGAACCCCGGGCCUGGAACGCGGAGCUGCUCCGCCCCUUUUAUACUUAAGUGUAGACUCGGAUGAGAUGUAAUAAAAGUACUUCUGUACUUUAUUUAUCAAAGACAAGAGUGUUAUAAUUUUCCCAGUGAUUGUUGUUACUUUUGUUUACAUGAGAAGUCCCCCAGUGGGUGGCUUAGUUGCGAAUCCGUUUCGCCUAAGUUUGUAAAAAAAUCCUUGCCGAGUGACGAGCCAGUCUCCCACUCGGGGGCUUAGCUACGAAUCUGUUUCGCCUAAGUACUUUCAAAUCCUACCGAGUGGUGAGCCAGUCUCCCACUCGGGGGCUUAGCUGCGAAUCUGUUUUGCCUAAGUACUUUCAAAUCCUAUCGAGUGGUGAGCCAGCCUCCCACUUGGAGGCUUAGCUACAGUCCAAGUACUCGCCUAAGUUCAAAAUUCCUACCGAGUGGUGAGCCAGCCUCCCACUCGGAGGCUUAGCUGCAGUCCAAGUACUCGCCUAAGUUUAAAAAUCCUACCGAGUGGUGAGCCAGCCUCCCACUCGGGGGCUUAGCUGCAGCCCAGUGCUCGCCUAAGUUUUUGAAAAUCCUACUGAGUGGAGAGCGAACCUCCCACUCUGAGGCUUAGCUGCAGCCCAGUGCUCGCCUAAGUUUUUGAAAAUCCUACCGAGUGGAGAGCGAACCUCCCACUCGGGGGCUUAGCUGCAGCCCAGUGCUCGCCUAAGUUUUUGAAAAUCCUACCGAGUGGAGUGCAAACCUCCCACUCGGAGGCUUAGCUGCAGCCCAGUGCUCGCCUAAGUUUUUGAAAAUCCUAUCGAGUGGAGAGCGAACCUCCCACUCGGGGGCUUAGCUGCAGCCCCGUGCUCGCCUAAGUAUUUGAAAAUCCUACCGAGUGGAGAGCGAACCUCCCACUCGGGGGCUUAGCUGCAGCCCAGUGCUCGCCUAAGUUUUUGAAAAUCCUACCGAGUGGAGAGCAAACCUCCCACUCGGGGGCUUAGCUGCAGCCCAGUGCUCGCCUAAGUUUUUGAAAAUCCUACCAAGUGGAGAGCAAACCUCCCACUCGGAGGCUUAGCUACAGCCCAACGCUCGCCUAAGUUUGAAAUAUAUUUUGACUCACAAGGAUGACGAGGUACAGGUCGAAUGAUACCUUCUCCUUCUGAGUUCCGCCACAAAUACAAUGUGCGCUAUGUCCUGACCCGCAAGGAUGCAGGUCGACUGCAACUUGUACUCCAACCUGCAAGAGUACGUCACCGGCACUAAGAUAUAUCCUGAGUGAAAAGCAGUGUUCACUCGAAAGCAGAUGCAAACUUAUUCAACGGUAAAACCAAGUUCAGAUAGCACCCUACGGGUCCAGAAGUGCUCAGGCGUCAAGCCUGUUAAAGUUUAUCGGUUACAAAACCACUCGGCAUUCCGAGGCAAAUUUAAGGCAUAGAAGUUUUUUACUCCUCCGGUGGAGGACUGGAAGGCGCGGCGAACUCAUCCAGGUCGAUUCCAUCAGCAAUCCGAGUGGCAGCAGCAAUGAAUGUCUCCAUAAAGGAUCGGAAGUCAUGCUUUUUAGUAUUGGCCACCUUGAGGGACGCCAGCUUUUCCUCUCGUGUGUCUUUGCAGUGAACACGGACUAAAGACAGAGCUACGUCAGCACCGCACCUGGAAGAAGACUUCUUCCACUCUUGCACUCGGCCUGGGACUUCAUUCAGUCGAGUCAUCAAAGACUCGAGGUCGUUCUGAAGCGUAUCCCCUGGCCAGAGUGUCGUGUCGAUUCGCGAUGUUGCUGCCUUCAACCUGGCCAGAUAGUCCACCAUGCCAGCGACACGGGACUCUAGUCGAAGCACAUUCAUGGCAGCCUCAUCCUUCACUGGAGAGUUGAUGGGGUCCAAGCCUGUCUCCACUCGGCCGGUCUCUUCCUCAAAGUUUUGGCAGAAUUCUGAAAGCACAAGUCAAACAUAAACCAACUGAUCCGCGACAAAUCAACGGUGACAAGUCAGUUGAGUGAAAAAAGGUUACCUUCAAGCAUGAGAAACAGCUUCUUGGCGAGCCCUCCCAGAUAAGCUUCCAGAUCAUUCUUCUUCCCCACCAGUUCACUCGGCUUGUCACUCAGAGUGAUCUUGUCUUUCUUCAGACGGCUGACUUCCUUGUUGGCCGCGUCGAGAGCAGAUUUCAGGUUGACAUUCUCUUCUUCGAGUUUGUCGACUGAAGCCAGCUUCUCUUCCGCAAGCUUUGUUUUAUCCAAUGCAGCCUUCUGCACCUCAGCAAGUUCCUGGUCCUUUUUCUUCAGAGCCUCCUUCAUUUUUUCUGCAAAAUGACAAGGAAGUCAGAAUCAAUAAUGUGCGGAAGGAAGGAAACAGUCGUCAAGUUCUCACCAAUCGUACCUUUUGCCUCGUCCUUCGCCUUCUGAAAGUUCUCCUGAACAAGUUUCAAGUCAAGGUCGAGCUGGAUAUGUUUCUUUUCCAAAUCAGUGUAACGGGCCACGAGCUCGCAGGAUUUCUACAAAGAGUCAGUCGACAAACAUUAAAGAGAGGUUACUUCCGAGUAACUAAGAGAAAAACAAUAAACGUUUCUAAGACUACAGUAGAAUCAAAAGAUUCAACAGUAGUCUCGGGGACUACACCCAGUGGGUACACUCAGCGUUCCCCCACUAGUUCUACCGACUCGAUCCGAUCAGUCGACCCAUAAAAAAUGAAAGGAAAGAGGGAGUUCUUGAGACUACAGUCGACUGCCAGUAGUCCACCAUAGUCUCGGGGACUACACCCAGUGGGUGCACUCAGCGUGCCCCCACAGGUCCUAAUCUUACACUCGACAUGGUUCGACCAGACCGAAUGAAGAGAUGCCAACUACAAAGAUUAAAGGCGACUGCCAGCAGUCCACCAUAGUCUCGGGGACUACACCCAGUGGGUGCACUCAGCGUGCCCCCACCAGUCCACAAACCCAAUCGACACACCCAGUGGGUGUACAGACACAAAGAUGGUUGGAAAGGAAAUCUUCAGAUAACAUAUCCUAACAGAACAGGCAGUUACCAACUAACCUGGACAUUGCUCUGAAGGGCGGAGCUUGCAUCGUAAGCUGCUUGACUGGCUUCCCGGAUCGCCUUCACCUGCUCCAUCAUAAUCCCCGCCUGGCGUAUAGCCUCUUUAGCUGUGCCCGCCUGGUCCUCUGGGACGUGGUGCGGGGAGAAAAGAGAUGGCGGUUCAGCAGUCAACGACGAAGGUCGGGCACUCGUCAGCGGCACAACGAAGGUCACAAAAUGCCGAGUGAUGUGGCCACCUUCUUGAACCAGUACCUCAGGUGCUGACGCAGUCCGAGUGGUCUUGCCAGCCACAACCUGUCUAUUCUUCCUCACCCUUAGGGGCACCUCGUCAUCGUCAUCAGGGAGAUCAAUGACGUGAUGAGGAGCUGCAAGAUAAACCCAGAAUUGGAAACGAAGAUACAAUCGACCAAAAACAAAAACUACAAAGAGAACGUACCGGGGUUGGAGGUGACAGCGUCUUCCAUUUCUUGGUCACCAUCCUUAGCGGAGGUCUCGGAGGUAGCAUCGCUGCAGAUUUCAGAAACCAGUCGGUUAAUCGACGAGUCGGCCGGAAGUUCGCUCGAGCUAAACAAGGAAGCACAAAUCCUGCUGAUUACCCAGAGAUGGUGGGAAUGACCAUUUACAUUUUGGGCAUGGCCUUCGGCGGCUUGGAUGACUCCGCCCGCGGAUGCUUCGGCACUUUUUCAGUCGGCGCCGGUGAGGCCGCCCGAGAGCGCUUUGUCGAUGGCACAACGGGCACAGCCGCUUUGCCGUGCUCCCUCGCGGGGUUGUGGGCGAGCUUGGAUCGCCUUUCCGUGCGAGGAGGAUCGACCUCCAUUUCCUCCUCCUCCUCACUGGAGCCGUCUUCAACCUCUUCCCCCUCGCCGUCAGAUUGCCACUCCUCUUCCUCACUUUCACCUCCACUCGCCUCUCCUUCCUCAGCUUGUUCCUGCGCCCCGUUAGGCAUCGAGUACAUUUCAGUCGUGUCCUGGAAGACAACAAACAAGACAAAAGUCAGUCGAUUGAUCUCAAACAGACAGAAUGGAAAAAACAGAAUUGCGGCUGGAAAUGUCAAAUUGGACCUUGUCAACUUCGUAUGAUUGGUCAAGUGGAACGACCCUCCUGGCUCCUCGGGGGUUGUCCUUGUUCCCCGUAAUGCUUCCCAUCCACCGCUCCAACGUGGCAUCAUCGAUCUCCUCCGGGUGGAUCCGAGUGGUGUCCUCAGUCCUAGAGUACAUCCACAUAGGAUGGUCUCGAAAUUGGAGCGGCUGGAUGCGCCGCCGCAGGAAGACCUCCAAGAGGUCCAUACCAGUCACCCCAUCGCAGAUGAGCUGCACGACACGCUCGACCAGCACCUUCACCUGCGCCUUCUCCUCCGGGACCACCCUCAAAGAGGUGGGCUUCUGCACUUGUUCCAUGGAAAAGGGAGGGAGCCCGGUUGACUGCCCUGGCGUCGGCUGGUCUUUGCAGUAAAACCAAGUCGACUGCCACCCACGGACGGAGUCGGGCAAAACCAUGAUCGGAAAAGAACUUUUCCCUCUCAACUGGACCCCAAGGCCCCCGCACAUAUGAAUCACAUGUGUCCGUUCGUCACUCGGAUUUGCCUUCUUCACCGCCUGGGAGCGGCAGGUGAAGAUGUGCUUAAAGAGACCCCAGUGAGGUCGGCAGCCCAAGAAGCACUCACACAAAGACACAUAGGCGGCGAGGUACACUAUGGUGUUGGGCGUGAAAUGAUGGAGUUGUGCCCCAAAGAAAUUCAAAAAACCCCGGAAGAAAGGAUGGGGCGGCAAAGAAAACCCACGGUCGACGUGGGUGGCCAGAAGAACGCACUCACCCUCCUGAGGCUGAGGCUCUGACUCCCUCCCCGGGAGCCGCGCCAACCCAUGGGGGAUCAGCCCACCGUCAACUAGGUCAUCGAGAUCCACCUGGCUAAUUGUUGAACGGAUCCAGUCGCCCUGGAUCCAGCCCGGCGGCAGGCCGGUCCUCGAUGAAGAGCCACUCCGACUGGUUCCCCUCCCCUUCGCCUUCGCCGUCGCUUUCUUCGCCCCUCCAGGGCCGCCGUCCUCUCCUUCACCAUCGUCGCCGGUGAAACACGCACGGGGCAGCUACGCGGAGGCAGAGGCAAACGCAGCGGAGAAAUCUGGAGAAGAAGGAGGAAUGGGGGCGCACUAUUGAAAAACCCCGUCCGUCGCUUUAUAUAAGGCUGCUCCCGAGUGGCUGACACGUAGGCCCGGACGAUCCUGUCAAAUCCCAUAAUAGUCGCACGCGCGAUACGUGGCGAAAAAGGAGGCGCGGAGAUUGAGGCGUCCCUGCCUUAUCCCGUCCAAUUGCCGCGGCUACGCCCCGUCCCGCGCACUUCCCAAAAUUCAAAUCCCGCAAAAUCCGCGGCUUGCGGAACAGCUCGUCAGGCAGAAGAUCCCCUCCACUCCAUCGCUCGGAGCUCUCCAGGCGAAAACUUCACUCGACAGAUAUAAAGAAUGGAUCAAGGCGACUGAAAAAGAAGUUGAUGUUGUCACCUAAAAGUUCAUUGAUCCAAGAUAGGCCAUACUCAUAGCACGAAAUAUGGGUCGGAAGAAUUCUCAACUCCUUCCCCACUCAAACCUCGAUCCAUUCGGGGGCUAAUGAUGAUGUUAUGUACCUAGGGUAGGGUCAUGGACCUGUCUAAGCUACCCUACCCAAGGACAUCUCUAGAAGAAACUACCUAUCAGUCGACCUAGAGGUGAUCCACUCGACGGACUCUAGGACACUCGACGAUGAAGAUAACCACUCGACCAUGAAGCUAACCACUCGACGGCCAGGAUACCUAAAGUCACUCUGCACGCAACGGUCUGUCAUUAAGUAGCUUUAAUAGUCUUCAUAGCACUUUAUGUGGGCGUUACCAGUAACCCCCUGUCUUAAUGUACUUUAAACCCUGCAUAACUGAGGGCCGGAGGGGUCUGGCGAACUCUAUAUAAGCCACCCCCCUCCUCAGUGUAAAGGGUUCGCACCCCUGUAAUUCAUACACAUAUAAUCCAGUCGACCGCCUCCGGGCUCCGAUACGUAGGGCUGUUACUUCCUCCGAGAAGGGCCUGAACUCGUAAAUCUCUCACGUAUACAACUACUCCAUAGCUAGGAUCUUGCCUCUCCAUACCUACCCCCCUUUCUACUGUCAGACUUAGAACCACGACACUGCCCGCCGGCAAAGAAAAUGAAUAAACAAGUUAUUAAAUAGUUGAUAUCAGGAAAUGAGGAACUAAUUAAAGAGGCCGACAUAUAGUUAAUAAUGAUUGAAAUCACCUGUUGACUAUCCCCUUCACGGUUGUGUACUCUCUCUUCUCUUUAAGUAGUGUGUCCAGUACUUCAAUUGUUCCUUCGUCAACUUUAAUGAUUAACAAGAUCCAAUGGAAACUGCAUGCACACACGUUUGCAUGUCUUAAUUAAGCAGGCAUGUGCAUAACACUCAUCAACUAUCCUAAACCCUAUACACUUAAUUAUUAAUAUCUAGCUAGCUAGUAACUAAAAACAGAAUUUGAAGUACAAGACAGUGUGACUCACGUGUAGUUGUAAGGAAGUAGUAUAUGUUCAUUGGUAUUGAGGCGCUUCAAGAACUCUAGCAUGUUUCUCUCUACCUCUGUUUGAUACCAUGCAUAUCCCCAUGUUUCUUCAUUAAUGGUAUUUGGGUCAAUGAACCCAAUGCCAUAGCGUCCAGCUUUUUUCAUUUCAUACAUCUUCAUCCUGCAUAAUAUACCACAGAAAAGAAUAUAGUGAGGAUAAUUACAGGUAAUGAUCGAUCAAUGAGAAGUACAGCUAGCUUGAGACUUGAAUUACGGAAAGAAAUCACUUAUAGACAAUACAAACUGAUGAUGGAUUUGUCGAGUGCGUCUUGAUGGAAUAACUGAAAUAGUUCUGAAUACUCAAUGGAUAGAGCUAGCUUAUGGAAGCAAUACUCUUCCUUGACUUUCACCAUGAGGCCCUCUCGAUUGCUACUCUUGGUAAUUUUCAUGUACCAAUCAUGCAAUUGAUAUAUUCUCGUUGGGAGGUUCUUGACCUCCUUAGGCCUUACCAAAGGUUUGCCGCGGGCAUAUUUCCAUUUUAUCUCCUCCUCUUUAAGCUUAGGCAUGGGCUCAAUCUCGAGGAGUUGUUCAACAGUGAUGCCGAGCAUGUCAGCGUUCCGUCUAUGCUCCUCGGUUAUUACCAGCUGACCGGCGCUGGUACUCUCGUGUGUUGGUACAACAAGUGGGGGGAUCGAUUGCGCCGCCUGUUCUCCUAGCUGGGGAACGGUUUUCCCGCAUUUUUGGCCAGCUGCUUGGCUCGAGCUCGAGCUCGACCCGGCCUGUUGUCGUGCUCGAUGUGCCUUCCUGAUUUGGCGCUCAUAGUCUGAGUCAACAGGCUUGGGAGCUAGUGGUCGCGCCAUACCAAUAAAGUGGUCAAUCUUCUCCUCGAGCACUUUCUCCCUUGGCGGCGGUGCCGGUUUUGGUGCGAAAUGGGCCUCCACUUGGGCCUUCACUAUGGCAUCAUUUUUCUCCUUGGUCAUGUCGUAAGGCCUCUACGGAAGAGGCGCGAGGCUUUUUGGACCGUAUUGAAAUUGCUUGCCUCCGCCUGUACCUCCUGUACUACCUCGACUUGUAGCACUAUGCACCAUAGCCGUGGUGGCUCUCUUUCGCGAUUGCUGAGGCAGCGGAGACGGCUGACGCGGUGUCGGACUUGGAGGAGGAGUGGCACGCGUUGGUGGACUUGGAGGAGGAGUGGCCUCACACGUUGGAUGAGUUGAAGGAGGAGGAGUGGCCUCACGUGUUGGCUGAAUUGAAGUAGGAGGAGUGGCCUCACGCAAUGGCUGAGUUGAAGCAGGAGGAGUGGCCUCCCGCGUUGGCUGAGUUGAAGCAGGAGGAGUGGCCUCACGCGUUGGAGGAGUGUGAGUCGUCUGCUCCUCAUCACCUCCUGGAAUUUCAAGCUCUAGCUGACGCGGUGUCGGUGGUCUUGGAAAGAUGAUGCAAUCCUUUCUCCAUAGGAUGAUACGAUGUAUGGCCUCUCCCAGUGUGUGCUCCUCGUCACCUCCAGAAAUGUCAAGCUGUAGCCCUGAAUAACGGUCCACCACCUCCUCAACCAUGACACAAGCAUAGCCGGCUGGAAUUGUUUGGCAAUGGUAGGUUGCUCUGGGGGGAUUUGUAUAAGCAACGGCGUCCGCUGCCUUCAGGGAUAUGUUCUUUACUUUGAAGUGUAGCUCAUAGUUAGUGUUCUCUUGAUGUCAUCCACAAGGUAUCUAUCCAGCAGUGCGUAGCCCGGGGCGGAACCCACGCUGCUUCUCGGCAUGGAUGGGACGGUGCUAUCCAAUGCUGGAUCAUGCGCUAGCUGCGGCCGCUGCUGAGACCCCCUUUCCUGGCUAAGCGAGUCGAUCUUCUCCUGCUGCCUCUGGAAUUUGAGUGCCAAGUCCGCGUGUGCUGAUUCUAGGCCUUGAAGCCAUUCUGCUUCUUGCUUCCUCUGCUCGUCCUCCAGCUUCUUCUUCUUCCCUUCCUCCAUCUUCCUUCUCACACGGCUUCUGUAGUCGGUGUUCCACUCAGAAAAUCCCUCAUACCACGGAACAACGCCCUUGCCUCGUGUUCUUCCCGGGUGUUCAGGAUUUCCUAGGGCGCGCGUAAGCUCGUCGCUCUCUUUGUUGGGCGUGAACACCUCCGUUCGAGCUUCUUCUAUUGCUUCAACUAACUUUUCAUCGGCUCCAUCAAGACUUGCCUUCUUCAAAACCAAGCCUGUCUUCGGGUCCAAUGCCCCCCAUGUGCAUAGAACCAAUUUCUGCACCUGGGGGGCCAGCUCCUAGUAACUAGAGUGACCCCUGCAUCCACCAUCUCUUGCUCAGACUUAUCCGACUUAGGCAUUGCCACCGCGUAGCCACCUGGCCCUAGCCUAUGGAAUUGCUCCUUUUUGGCGGCAUUGGCCUUGUUUUUUCUGGACCGUUCCUUAGAUAAUCCUGAUUCCUUGAAUUUCACGAAAUCGUCCUAGUGUUCUCUUUGGUUCUUGAGUGUUCUCUUGAAUUCUGGAGUCUUCUUUCCUGCUUUGAUGUAGUCCUUCCAUAUAGUUUUCUUGUGGUUGUUGAAUGCAAUUGCCAUCUUCCUAAGAGCAGCGUCCUUGACUUUCUCCACAUCUGCAUCUGUGAAAUGAGCUGGUAGGGUGAAAUGUUCCAUGAGUUCUUCCCAAAGCGCAUUUUUUGCUCUGUCAUCGACAAAAGUAAGAUCUGGACGGGGCUUUGAUGGCCUUUUCCAUUCUUGAAGGGAGAUCGGGAGUUUGUCCUUCACAAGUACUCCGCACUGAGAACGAACUUGUUCGCAAUGUUCUUAGGCUCUAUUGGUUCGCCAUUAGUAUUGGUGGCCUCGAUGUUGUACUUUACGCCCUCCUUCAACUUUUUUCCCUUGCCUCGCACUCUGCCUGUAGAAGAUUUGCUCGAUCCGGAGGGCUGAAAAGAAGAAAGGUCGAUCUGUUAAUAUAUCUUCAAAUCAUUUAAAACAUGUGAUGAUCACCAGAUGCUUGCUUAUAUAAAUAUACCUCGUCGGUCUCUGUUUUAUCAAGAUCAACAUUUUCUUCGCCAUCAUAAUCAUUAAUUUUGUCGUCAUCAUAAUCAUUAAUUUCGUCGCCAUCAUAAUCAUUAAUUUCUUCGCCAUCAUAAUCCAUGACUUCAUCAAUUCGGUCGUCGCGAUUGAAUAUCAUAUCAUCACCCUCCCCGGUAUUGUUCAGAUAUUGGGAGCCGUCAUCUUCUUCAUUUCGAUUAUCUGGCGCGCGAGGGGAGCAUAUGAUAUCGAACAUGGCCUCUUCUCCCUCUCUGCCGGUAUUGUCCGCCAUAGCUUUUAUUUAACAAAUCUAGAAGAAAUAUAAAACAAUUUAGUAUUCAAAUUACAAUAUGCAUGCAUGCAAUCAAUAAGAGGAAAUCCUGAAUCAUAGUACAUAAUAUGCAUCAUCUCGAAUAAUAUAUAAUCUCGAAUACAUCGUCUCGAAUAUUAUAUAUCUAAUACGACAUCACUAGCUAGCUAGCUAAUAAAGAUCGAAUACUAUAGAAUAAUCCAGACCACUCGCGGUUCCCGAGGCGCGGGCGGUGGACACCCAAAGAGAAGGAACCAUCACAGGAUCAUAGCUCCGCUCAUCUCCCCAAAGACCCUUCCAGGUAUUGGAGAACCUGACGUCCAUAGCAGCCAUGUACCGACGGACGUGCUCAUCCUCCUCCCUAACACGGUGAUGCACCACCUCCGGCAGGGCCGGCUCCCUCCGCACCGAAAGUGGCCCACGGGAACGCCACCAAAGGAGCUCAGGGUCGACGAUGGGACCCGAGUUACUCACCAAGCGGAGAGCCCCUGAAAAUAGCACCUCCCAAUGCCAGCCCAGCGGAGCCCAGUCCCGGACAUGGGUCCUCUGAAGCAGGACGUCGUCGCGAACGGGUCGACGGCGAGGAUGCGGGCCGGGCAUCGUCGAGAACAAAUACUAUAUGCCGCAAAAGUAACAUUUUUUAAAUGAUUGGAUUGUGAUUUUUUAUAUGCAAAUUCUAAAUUUGUGUAACUAAAAUUAUAAGAAACUAAAAACUAACAUUUCUAUAACAAUUUGAAAUUAAUCUAAUUCAUCUAGCUAUAACUAACAUUUCUAAAAUUUCUAACAUUUCUAAUAUUUCUAUAUACUAUUUGACAUUAAUCUAAUCUAAUUAAUUAAUUCAUCUAAAACAUGUGUAUAAAAACAGAAAAAACUAAAAAAACUAAAAAUAGAAAAAACUAAAAACUAAAAACUAAAUGUGUGUGUGCGUGUGUGUGUGCGCGCAUGUGUGUGUCCACGCACACGAGCGCGCCCUGGCGGCGCGGCGGCUUCGAUUGGAGGGAGGAGAGGGGUCGGGGGGAGGGGCUCACAGCGCGGACGGCGAGGCCACGACAACGACGAGGUGCACGACGGACGGCGAGGCAGAGGGGAUGGGGACAGGGGCGGCGGCGACGGUGACGGACAGCGACGGGGACGGCAACAGGGGCGAUGACGGGGGCGGCGACGAGGGGCGGCGGCGAUGGGGCAGAUGAGGAGAAGAAGCAGAGGGAACGAACUGACGAAUUUUUUUGAAGUGCUCUCUUAUAUAGAACCUACCUUUAGUACCGGUUGGAGCCACCAACCGGUACUAAAGGUUUGUUUUGGCCAGGCAAAGCGGCGGGAAGCGCACCCCCUUUAGUAUCAGGUGGUGGCUACAACCGGUACUAAAGGCCCCUCCCCUUUAGUACUGGUUGGAGCCACGACCCGGUACUAAAGGGGGUGCGCUGGCUCCAGGCGGUGCGCAAGUUUAGUCCCACCUCGCUAGUUGAGGAGCGCCGAGGCCAGUUUAUAAGCCCCGGCGCGGGCACUGCAUUGAGCUCCUCUCUAAAGCACGCCUUCUAGGCCUACCUGUGCUACUCUGCCCUGUUGGGCCUACUGGGCUAGCGGGCCUGCAUCCUGACCCAACUACAGGUUGGGUUUCUAGUCGUAUGCAGGCCCCUAUGGCCCAGUAGGUGAGCUUUUUUUAUUGAGUUUUUGUCUCAACAAAAAAUUAGUUUUUUUUCUUUUCUACUUUACUUAUUUUCAUUUAUUUAUUUUUGAAUAUUUUUUCUUUAGGUACAAAAUUGCAAACUUUCUGUUAGUGCGAGUAGUUUUCAAAUUUGAAUAGUUUAUUUUUUAAUUUAGUGUUUGUCUCAACAAAAAAUUAGUUUUCUUUCUUUUCUACUUUAUUUAUUUUCAUUUGUUUAUUUCUGAAUAUUUUUUCUCUAGGUACAAAAAAUUACAAACUUUCUGUUAGUGCGAGUAGUUUUGAAAUUUGAAUAGUUUUAAAAAAAUUAGUUUUUGUCUCAACAAAAUUUUAGUUUAUUUUCUGUUCUACUUUAUUUAUUUUCAUUUAUUUAUUUCUGAAUUUUUUUUCUAUAGUUACAAAAAAAUACAAACUUUCUGUUAGUGCCAGUAGUUUUCAAAUUUGAAUAGUUUAAAUUUGAAUUAUUUGACGAACUAAUUUGUAGACGAAGUGCAUCCAGUUUUUGCACAUAAAAUUUGAUCGCUUUCAAAUACCAAAACACAUAAGUACCCUAACUAUUACAAAGAUUCCCUCCGGUUUGUUCGAAGCGGCACUUUCUAGAUAUAUAAGUCUGGAAAGUCACUACAGAAGAAAGUGAUGAUGGUGAAGCCUAUCACAUGCCAGUGUGGGAUCUUUGGGUGUGAAACUUUUUCUUCGCGUGUGUCCCUUUGCGCCGUAACCAUGGACAAUCUUCAUCAUUUAACUGGAUGCUCGGAUCAAUAUUCACUUUGAAUGGAGCAAUUUCAUCAAACUUUUCAUAAUCUUCUGACAUGUCUGUCUUGUCAUCCACUCCCACGAUGUUUCUUUUCCCUGAAAGAACUAUGUGGCGCUUUGGCUCACGUAUGAUAAAUUCGCUUCCUUAUCUUUUCUUUUUCUUGGCCUGGUAGACAUGUCUUUCACAUAGAAAACCUGCGCCACAUCAUUGGCUAGGAUGAAUGCUUCGUCUGCAUACGCAAGAUUGUUGAGAUCCACUGUUGUCAUUCCGUACUGCGGGUCUUCCGUUACCCGGCCUCGUGUCAUAUUGACCCAUUUGCACCGAAACAAAGGGACCUUCAAACCACCUCCAUAGUGAAGUUCCCAUCUGUCCUCUAUGUAACCAUAAUAUGUUUCCUUUCCCGUGUUGGUUGUUGCAUCAAAGCAGACGCCACUGUUUUGGUUCGUGCUCUUCUUAUCUUGGGCGAUCGUGUAAAAUGUAUUCCCAUUUAUCUCGUACCCUUUGAAAGUCAUUAUAUUCGAAGAUGGUAACUCGAACAGCGAGUACAUGUCAUCUUCAAUAUCGCCAUCAUGCAUGGCACGUGUCGGCAACCAACCGGCGAAAGUCCUCGUUUGUUCACGUGUAAUCCAGUCAUCAGACUGCUCCAGGUGUUUGGAGUAGAAAAUUCUUGUGUUCCUCCAUAUACGGAGACACCAAGGCGGAAUUCUGUAGAACUGUGUUGUGUGCUUCAGUGAGAGAAUGCCCAUCCAUACAUAUUAUUUGAUCCCCUCCUUGCGUGCCUUUUCCAUCCAGUCUGCCCUUUAACCGCGAUUCAGGAACACCAAUCGGCUUAAGGUUAGGAAUAAAGUCAAUACAAAACUCAAUGACCUCCUCAUUUUCAUGGCCCUCCGAGAUGCUUCCUUCUGGCCUAGCACGGUUAUGAACAUAUUUCUUCAAGACUCCCAUGAACCUCUCAAAGGGGAACAUAUUGUGUAGAAAUACAGGACCCAAAACGUUAAUCUCUUUGUAAAGCUGAGCUAGGACGUGCGACAUGAUGGUGAAGAAGGAUGGUGGGAACACCAACUCGAAACUGACAAGACAUUGCGCCAAAUCAGUUUGUAACUUGGUAUGAUUUCUGGAUCGAUUACCUUCUAAGAGAUUGCAUUGAGGAAUGCACAUAGCUUCACAAUGGCUAAUCGAACGUUUUCUGGUAGAAGCCCCCUCAAUGCAACCGACAACAGUUGCGUCAUAAUCACGUGGAAGUCAUGAGACUUUAGGUUCUAGAACUUUUUCUUUGCCAUAUUUAUUAUUCCCUUUAUAUUCGACGAGAAGCGAGACGGUACCUUCAUACUGAGCAGGCAUUCAAAGAAGAUUUCCUUCUCUUCUUUGGUAAGAGCAUAGCUGGCCUGACCCUGAUAUAUGCCAUCUUUUCAGUGCAUACGUUGUUGGUCCUCCCGUGCCUCUGGUGUAUAUUUUGUCUUCCCAUACACGCCCAAGAAGCCAAGCAGGGUCACGCAAAGAUUCUUCGUCACGUGCAUCACGUCGAUUGCGGAGCGGACCACUAGGUCUUUCCAAUAUGGCAGGUCCCAAAACAUAGAUUUCUUCUUCCACAUGGGUGCACGUCCGUCAGCGUCCUUCGGAACAGGUUGUCCGUCAGGACCCUUUCCAAAGAUUACCUUCAAAUCCUUGACCAUAUCAUGUACAUCAGCACCAGUAUGGUGGCGAGGCUUCGUCCGGUGAUCCGCCUCACCUUUGAAAUGCUUGCCUUUCUUUCUUACGGGAUGCCUGCUUGGCAGAAAUCGACGAUGUCCCAGGUACACAUUCUUCCUACAACUAUCCAAAUAUAUACUAUCGGUAUCAUCCAAAUAGUGCGUGCAUCCGCAGUAUCCCUUGUUUGUCUAUCCUAAAAGGUUACUGAGAGCAGACCAAUCACUGAUGGUCACGAACAGCAAUGCCUUUAGGUCAAAUUCUUCCUAUUUGUGCUCAUCCCACGCACGUACACCUUUUCCAUUCCACAACUAUAAUAGUUCUUCAACUAAUGGCCUUAGGUACACAUCGAUGUCGUGCCGGGUUGCUUAGGGCCUUGGAUGAGCACUGGCAUCAUAAUGAACUUCCGCUUCAUGCACAACCAAGGAGGAAGGUUAUACAAACAUAGAGUCACAAGCCACGUGCUAUGGUUGCUGCUCUGCUCCCCAAAAGGAUUAAUGCCAUCUGCUCUUAGACCAAACCAUAUGUUCCUUGGGUCACCUGCAAACUCCUCCCUGUACUUUCUCUCAAUAUUUCUCCACUGUGACCCAUCAGCGGGUACUCUCAACUUUCCGUCUUUCUUACGGUCUUCUCCGUGCCAUCGAAUCGCCUUCGCAUGCUCUUUGUUUUGGAACAACAUUUCAACCGUGGUAUUGUAGGAGCAUACCACAUCACCUUUGCAGGAAUCUUCUUCCUGAGGCGCUCGCCCUCGACAUCACCAGGGUCAUCGCAGCUGAUCUUAUAGCGCAAUGCACCACAUACCGGGCACGCGUUCAAAUCCUCGUACUCAUCGCGGUAGAGGAUGCAGUCAUUAGGGCAUGCAUGUAUCUUCUGCACCUCUAAACCUAGAGGGCAGACAGCCUUCUUCGCUUCAUACGUACUCUCGGGCAAUUCGUUGUCCUUUGGAACCAUAUUCUUUAUCAUUACCAGCAACUUUCCAAAUCCCUUGUCAGAUAGAUCAUUCUCUGCCUUCCAUUGCAGCAAUUAUAGUGUGGUGCCCAGCUUUUUCUCGGGUAUAACAAUUUCCUGUGAUCCUCUAACAUGCGCUGCAACUUCUUCUUGUCCUUUUCACUUGCGCAGUUUCUCUUUGCAUCGGCAAUGGCCCGACCUAGAUCAUCAGCGGGCUCAUCUGAUGCCUCUUCUUCAGCUUCUUCCCGCACGGCCGGCUCAGCUUCCUCCCCCAUUGUUGUAUCAUUGUAUUUAGGGAACCCAUGGCUAGGAUAGCUAUCGCCAUCCUCUUCUUCUUCAUUGUCUUCCAUCAUAACCCCUCUUUCUCCAUGCUUGGUCCAAACAUUAUAGUGGGGCAUGAAACCGGACUCAAACAGGUGGACGUGAAUGGUUCUUGAGUUAGAGUAAUUGUGACCAUUCUUACAGCCAGCACAUGGACAAGGCAUAAAACCAUCCGCCCGCUUGUUUGCCUGAGCCACAAUUAGAAAAGUAUGCACGCCAUCAAUGAACUGGGGAGAGCAUCGGUCAUCGUACAUCCAUUGCCGGCGCAUCUUCAUUACACACCACCGAAUAGACCAAAUUAAUACAAGUUCAUACAUAAAGUUCAUAUACAACACUUAAAUGCAACAUACAAAUAACUCUCUAGCUAAAGAAUUUAAAUGCAACAACAAAUGCGAUCAAGAUCGCAACUAAGGUAACAAUUGAUCCAACAGCAUAAUGAUACCAAGCCACACUAUCAAUAGCAUAUUUUCUAAUCUUUCUAAUCUUCAACCGCAUUUUCUCCAUCUUGAUCUUGUGAUCAUUGAUGACAUCGGCAACAUGCAACUCCAAUUCCAUCUUCUCCCCCUCAAUUCUUUUCAAUUUUUCUUUCAAAUACUUGUUUUCUCUUUCAACUAAAUUUAACCUCUCGACAAUAGGGUCGGUUGGAAUUUCUGGUUCACAUACCUCCUAGAUAAAAAUAUCUAUGUCAACUUCAUGGGCACAAUUUUUCAUAAACACGAAAUGCAACAAAUAGUUUUAAAAGAGAAUAUACCACAUCCGAAUCAUAACACGGACGAGGGCCGACGGGGACGGAUAUCAAAACCAUGGCACUAUGUAUAACAAACAACGUAUGGGUAAGAUAAUUAUAAAACUAACUAUAUAUCUAAAUCACACAAACAUGAUUUUUUUAUAUAAAAAGAUAAGAACAAGAGGCUCACCACAAGGUGGUGCCGGCGACGGGUCGGUGCGGACGAUCGACGGUAGUUACGACGGAGACGGGAAGGCACUAAGUAAACCACACCUACAUAUGCAAACUAAGAGUUAUUUUAAGCUCAAAUUGCAUAUAAAUCAAAUAUACUACCACAUAUAAUUCCUCCCAAAUUACUAAAACCCACAAAUUAAUCACUAUAUAAAGCAUUGCAAGAGCUAAUCUAGCAAUGAGAGACGAAAGGACAAAGUUCCUAACCUUUGUGAUCACUUGAAUGGAUGGGGGCCUUCAAAUCUUGACAAAAUUUGGGCAAAAUGUGUGAUGAGAUCGAGGGGAGAAGAGGAAGAACAGAGAGGCGAGGGGAAAGGGGAAGAACAGAGCGAGCUCGGGUGGAUGAAGGCUUUAUGUAGGGCGACCUUUUAGUACCGGCCAGUACUAAAGGUGGUGGAGGGGCCCCAGACUGACAACAUCCUGCCACCACUCUCUUUAGUACCGGUUCGUGGCACGAACCGGUGCUAAAGGUUCACCAUGAACCAGUACUAAAGAGAUCCUCCUGGCUAGCUGUUGGAACCGACACUAAUGGACACAUUAGUGCCGGCUCAAAUUCAAACCGGCACUAAUGUGUCUCACAUUUGACCCUUUUUCUACUUAUGCUAUACUACUGGUGACUAUGAAGGUGGCUAGUAUAUCCGCCACCAUAAUGUGCGGCAGUAAUCAAAACGGUCGGAUAGUAAAAAAAAUCAAAACCACUGAUUUAACCUCUAAUGAUUUAUCACAUCCUUGUAUCGAUGUUGGAGUAGUAACUUGUUCUAUGACAUGAGUUAAAUAGUAUUACACUUCUAUUCAAAUAUUAGUCAUGUUGCAUCAAUUAUUACCUUCCUAUCCAAAUAUUAGUCAUGAUUCAAAAUACACCCAAAAAUGCAUCCAGAAAUAUACUAAUUAGAUACAAAAAAUGGAUAGUAUUACCUGGGAUGUUGGAAUAUCCAAAGAAAUAAAAACAUAUUGAAAUAUGAAGCCCCAACCAUCACUGUUUGGAAAUUCCUCCAUUAGGACAUUACUUUGCUAGGUCAUGGGAUCAAGAGCAAAUAUACUGAGAGCUUGCAUAGGUGGAUCGAUUACCAUCUUUGAUGAUGGUGUCUAGAAUUGAUUUUCACUUUUUUUAUCAUGAGGAUCCCUAGAACUGCCAUUGGAUGAUUUUCUUGUACUUUCUAUCUUUCAUCCUCUUCCUUAUUGUGUAUAUAUGAUUUUUUUAAUUUAUAAAGAAAGGUCAUGGAACCGUUGUUCUAUGAUUCAUGGCUUAAAAUAAUAGACUAACAGGUCACCUUGUUCAUGCUCUAGCAAAUUCAAGGGCCAUAUUAUUUGGCAGCGAGUUGUACCUAGUUAAAUUCAAGUAUUUGAAAUGAUAUACUUAUAGUAGAAGUAGUAACAGACAAAUUAUGUCUUGAAGACCUUAUACCAUGUACUCGACAACAUGACUUUAUUUCUCUUGUACAUAACACAAUACUCAACUAUACAACACACACAUGUAACAAUAUUCUGGCAAUUCAAAUGUAUGACCAACAAAUAUUUCAUGACAUCAUGCUAAAUCUCCAAGGCUUUUGAACAUUUCAGCCCAUAUCCAAAAGGAAAUAAUGGAUCAUAGUCAACACCUCCAAUAUUUAUAGGUAGUUGAUCAUCAUAACUAAACCAAGUUACAGGCAACGUGCCCAAAAAAUCAUGGUCUCCAAAGAGGCAAUCAGCAACUCCCAUGCCCUCACUUCCAGGCAGCCAAGCAGCAACUAGAGCAUCUACCUUCUAAACAACUGGUGGCUCAAUAACCAAGGUCCUUCCAGAAAUAACAAUCGCUAGGGUAGGGACUUUACUAGCAACACGAGUAAUAAGAUCAGAACCAUUUAAUGGAAUACUAAGGUCAGUUCUAUCCCCCCCAAGCUUUCUGCAUAGGGAACCUCACCAACUACAACAACUACAUAAGAAAAUUUGCCUGUUUUAAUGGUAACAUCUAGGCAUCCUUCAUACAUAACUUCGGUUUCCACUUCCAUAUAUAGAUUCUUGUAUGGCCUCUAAUAUGCUUGUACCUAUUGGUUUUGAUAGCUUGAUUAACUCCUACAUCAUAGUGUGGACUAAACUAGAACAUAGUUUUAAUAAAUAAAAUGAAACAAUUCUGAAACAACCCCUAAACAGUAUGUUCCAACGCAAACAACUUAUGCUUCAAUUUCUAAACAACAAUUUCACAUCUGUGUAUGCAACAUGGUACUUGAAAAUGGGUCAUAAUUUAUCCUUAACUACUAAUCAUCCAACCUAGAAUUUCCAAAGAGAAUGAUUUUUAUAAUAGGAAACAAAUAAUUGGAAGUGUCACUCAAAUGUAAGGUCGUUUGUAAUAUAUUCUCCUGGAGUUAAAAUUAUUUGCUUACCAGGAGUAAUAUUUCCACUAUCACGGUGCCAAGCUAUUGUCCACUGAUGACCCACAAGCAUAGGGGAUCAAUCGUAGUCCUUUCGAUAAGUAAGAGUGUCGUCGAACCCAAUGAGGAGCAGAAGGAAAUGACAAGCAGUUUUCAGCAAGGUAAUGUCUACAAGCACUAAAAUUAUUGGUAAUAAGUAGUUUGGUAGCAAGAUAAUUUGUAAGAAGCAAGUAACGGUAAUGGUAAAUAAAGUGCAGCAAGAUAGCCCAAUCCUUUUGAGGCAAAGGAUAGGAUAAGACGGUCUCUAAUAAUAAGCAAAGCGUUCUCGAGGGUGCCUGGGAAUUUCACCAUAUCACUUUCAUCAUGUUGGCUUGAUUCAUGUUCGCCACUUUGAUAAUUUGGUAUGUGGGUGGAUCGAUGCCUAGGUGUUGUUCUUACUUGAACAAACCUCCUACUUAUGAUUAACCCCCUCGCAAGCAUCCUCAACUAUGAGAAAAAUAAGAUAAAACAUAACCGUAGCAUUAAACUUUUGGAUCCAAAUCGGCCCCUUACGAAGUAGCGCAUAAACUAGGGUUUAAGCUUUUGUCACUCUAGCAACUCAUCAUCUAAUAACUACGCUGGUACAUGUCCAUUGCAUCUACUUUUCCUAAUGCUUUUCCCCUUGUUUUGGACUCUAAUUUGCAUGAUUUUAAUAAAACUAACCUGGACUGACGCUGUUUUCAACAGAACUACUAUAGUGUUGUUUUUGUGUAGAAAUAAAAGUUCUCGGAAUGGAACGAAACUUUACGAGGAUUUUUUGUACAAUAAAAGAUAAUUUCUGGAGCCAAGAACCACCGAAGGGGGGCACCUGGGUGGGCACAACUCACCAGGGCACGCCACCCCCUCCACAAGCACCUAGGUGGGUUGUCCCCACCUGGUGGCCCCGCAGACCCUGAAACCGACGCUAUAAAAUUCUAUUUUUCCAAAAAAGGGGGGAAUGAAUUAUCGCAUUUCACAAGACGGAGCCGCCACCGUCUCCUGUUCUUCAUCGAGAGGCCUGAUCUGGAGUCCGUUUGGGGCUCCAGAGAGGGGGAUCUUCGAUCUUCAUCGCCAACCCUUCUCCAUUGCCAAUUCCAUGAUGCUCCCCACCGGGAGUGAGUAAUUCCUUCGUAGUCUCGCUGGUCGGUGAGGAGUUGGAUGAGAUUCAUCAUGUAAUCGAGUUAGUUUUGUUAGGGCUUGAUCCCUAGUAUCCAUUAUGUUCUAAGAUUGAUGUUGUUAUGACUUUGACAUGCUUAAUGCUUGUCACUUUGGGCCCAGGUGCCAUGAUUUCAGAUCGGAACUGUUUAUGUUAUCACCAUUAUAUAUAUGUUCUAGAUCGGAUCUUGCAAGUUAUAGUCACCUACUACAUGUUAUGAUCUGGCAACCCCAGAGUGACAAUAGUCGGGACCACUUUCGAUGAUGACCGUAGUUUGAGGAGUUCAUGUAUUCACUGUAUGCUAAUGCUUUGUUCCGAUUCUCUAUUAAAAGGAGGCAUUAAUAUCCCUUAUUUUCCAAUAGGACCCCGCUUCCAUGGGAGGGUAGGACAAAAGAUGGCAUGCAAGUUCUUUCCAUAAGCAAACAUGACUAUUUACGGACUACAUGCCUACAUUAUAUUUAUGAACUGGAGCUAGUGCCGUAUCGCCCUAGAUUAUGAUUGUCUCAUGAUGAAUAUCAUCCAACAAAUUGCCGAUCCAAUGCCUACAAUUUUCCUACAUAUUGUUUCUGCUAAGUUACUACCGCUAUUGUUACUGUUGCACUUGCUACAAAACUACUUCUAUCACUAUUACUGUUACUAUUGUUGUUGCUACUACUAUCAAAACUAUCAUACUACUUUGCUACUAAUCACUUUGCUGCAGAUAAUUAAUCUCUAGGUGUGGUUGAAUUGACUACUCAGCUGCUAAUACUUGCAAAUAUUCUUUCGCUCCCCUUGUGUCGAAUCUAUAAAUUUGGGUUGAAUACUCUACUCUCGAAAACUAUUGCGAUCCCAUAUAUUUGUGGGUUAUCAUACUCCACAAUGCAUUCCCUUAGGCCCUAAUAAGGUGAAGUGUCAUGUAGACGACGUUCACAUGACACCACUAAGGGAAUCACAACAUGCAUAUCAUCAAAAUAUCGAACACAUAUCAAGUUCACAUGAUUACUUGCAACAUGACUUCUCCCGUGACUUUAAGAACAAAAGUAACUACUCAAAUAUAUAUAUGUAGAUCAACAUAUAUAUAUCAAUAAAUUAGAUCCAAUGGACAUAUGCGAGCCGCCCCCGCCGUGUUGAGCUGUCGGGGUUAUAUUGAGUCUCCGGUCUGCCUGAGCCACCUCUGUCGCAAUAAACGAAUCAUCUGUCGUCUAAACAAAUCAGGUGAUACCCAUCCAACUUUAUUUUAUUAUCACAUGUUGUUUUUGUCAAAGAACAAGUUUAUCUUUGCCUUGGUCUGCAAUAUUGUUUAUGCAGGGCAAUUAUUUAUGACAAAAAGUGAUAUUAUACCGCGGAGAUGAAGGCACGCCAACAUCUUUUGGCACAGGUGGUCGUUAUUACUCAACGGACUCCCGCACUGGUUUAGAACACCGUGGCCGUCUCUCGCGACCACGCCGGCUUACAACAAGGAGGACAACUUGCCCGUCCGCACUGGCUUAUAAUGCCAUGGCCGGUUCAUCUGUCUAUGCCACUUUAGAUGUUGCGGUCGUCUUUGCCGUCCGUCUCUCACGAACGAGUCUACAUCAACACAUCGGGUCGCACCUGUCUGCAUGAGCUGUUUAUUGACUAUGAGCAAGUCACUACUUGGGAAGCCCGGUUUUCUUCCAACAAAUUGGAGGUAAAUUAUCAUGUGUUAUUAGCCGUCGUCUGCACCGGAUGGCUCAAUGGGCAGACGCACAAGUCGCUGCCACUACGGUUUGGUUAACUUCAAACAGCCAGUUGGAAGGAACCAUUGGCCGAGUUGCUGACACGGUUCAUAAGGGAUCAUUUAUAACCGCCGUAGUCACCUCGACCUUCUGCGGAUUCACAUCGCGUUAUCAGCGUCAAUAAUAUACACCUUUUGCUAUGGUCAAAUAUGGAGAAUCUCAAGCCAACUCUUCGAGUCAUCUUGAGACUCGGGGGCUACAAUGGUAAGGCUCGGACAAAUUAGCCGGUUUCAAUGGAUUCAAAAACUCCGGGUCAUUGGAGGGAAGGUAACCCGGUUCCCGAGGCUACCGCUAUAUUGGUGAAAAAAUUUAAAGGCCAUCAGAAAAUUUCCGGCUUAAAAAAAGGACUCCGGUUUAAAAUCCGGUUCAAGAGACAUCUCUCUCCCACAAAGCACUGACACUCUUAAUAUCUGGUUUUAAAACCGGUUCAAGGGAAAUUUAUUUACCGGAAGGCUUUGAUGCUCUCAAAUCCGGUUCAAAUCCGGCUCAAGGUAAAGUUAUCUCUCCCAAAGUUUUGAAGCUUUCAAAUCCGGUUUAAACUUCCGGUUCAAAAAGAAUUAAUCUCGCGCAAAGUUCGAGUUCUCAGACAAAUUAAUGGUUACCAAAGAGAACUUGCUGUCAUGAUGCACGGUUCAAAACAUAGGUAUCCUGCCUUACGGCUUAUCUUAUUAUGAUUACUUGGGGGCUUCCUGCUCAUCGGGCAUAGCUAUCAGUACCCUCUUGAUCGGCGCAAUGCCAAAACUUAUAUGGUCACUUGGGGGCUUCCUGUUCAAACAUAGGUCGUAUUCAAACCAAAGAGAACAUAACUGUCGAUACCCUUUUGAUUACCAAACUGCUGAACCUACUUGGGGGCUUCUUGAUCGUAUCCGAAUCAUAGCUCAACCCCUUUGGGAAUCGACGUGGAUCGUAUUCGAAUCAGCGUCAUUAAACAACUUUUAAAGGUCAUUUGGGGGCUUCCUAUUCAAACAUAGGUCGUAUUCGAACCAAAGAGAACAUAGCUGUCGAUACCCACUUCGAUCGGCAACGCCAACGCCACUGGGGGCUAUAUGAUCGUAUUCGAAUCUUAGCUUAACCCCUUUGGAACGGUUUACUGAUCAUAUUCGAAUAAGAAGCCUCAAAUUUUUUAUCUGUUUUUAUACAAUCGUAAGUAUUUGAGUUGUCACAAAUAUCAUAUGUGCCGGCUCUUACAGAAUCAACUUCACUGUCCGGGUCACAUAAACCGGCGGUAUCAUUCAAAGGAUCAUAGGGGUCUUGUAAUCUACUUGUGUGCAGGAUAAGACUACAUUUGGGUGGUUACCCGCCCUGGCUCUUGACGUUAAGUCGCCAGGGCAUAUGUUGUUUAAACUCUGUGCAAAAUUUGCAGAAUUAUGACUUAUAUAAAUGCUUCAGUCCAAGCUCAUCAUUGAAAUUGGUGUCUCAAAAGGGUUAUCAGUUAUUGAUUUGCUCAAGGGCUAUAGGCCACCGGGUUAUAAAAAAUCCGGCUUACAAUGAAUGCGCAUUAAGUCAUCAUCGGCCAAAAGCCGCCAGGUAUUUAAACUCCGGAUUUACUUGUCAACCGAUGAGGUAUUCAAAUCUUUAAUAGCCAAAAUUGGCUAGAUUUUCAUGAUGAUAUUGAAUGAUUGAGUUUUUCAUACCGGAUUAUAUUAUUCAAAUCUUGAAUAGCCAACAUGGCUGGAUUUCUAUUGUGAUUAUCAAUAACCAGUGUUAUGACUGAGGUUUUCAAAGUCGCUUUAGCGCAACAGCUAUUAUUUUAUCAAUGGAUAUGAUUUAUUCUACAAUGGAAGGAAUAGUCCCGAGUCGCUAUAGGCUUACAACCCGGCACUUGGUGGCUACAUUAUUCAAGUUGAGAUUACAUCAAAUAUGCAAGUCCCAUGUCACUGCCAGCAUGCACCAUGGAACUUGGGGGCUAAUGCAAAGUCAUUUUUGCUCACCUCAUUGAAGACCCGACUCAUCACAUCAUAAUGAGCCGGCCCUUGGGGCUACCAAUUGCUCCUGUCAAUAGUUCAAGGUACACAAGUCUUAAUCCAUUAUAUUGAAGGAUCCAUUGCUCAGUUGGUAAAGCGCAAAGCUCUUAACUUUGUGGACGUGGGCUCAAGCCCCAUGGUGGAGAUUACAUCAUAUGAUGUUAUUAUCAAUGAAUUAUAUACAAAGUCCCAGCUCAGUAAUAUCUUACUAAGCCGGCCCUUGGGGGCUACACUGGUUGAAGUUUUAUGAGCAUAAGGCAAUUACAAGUCCUAGGUUGCUGCAAGCAUGACAACCCGGUACUUGGGGGCUAUAGGUGAUAUACAUAUAAGAAAAAAAAUCUCCAAAUUAUUAGUUUUGAGUAGGUCAGAUUGAUCCGGUGUCACCAAUAAUUAUGACCCGGCGUCGGAAACAGUUAUUACCCGGUGCUAUCAAUAUUUACAAGCCGACAAUUUUGGCAGUUAUAACUAGCCAACCUCUACAUCUUUAAAUCGGCGGAUCACCAGAUGAAUCUUGAGUCCAAUAUGUUUAUUAAGCCAGAGCUUUGGAAACCGACUCAAAUGGAUUAUUUCUUAUAAUAUUUCUCAACAAGAGACCAAUGUCAGCAAAUUGACUCUGAAGCUGGCCUGUUGACCCGGAUUUCUCAAAGGAAGUAUCUGGAUCUUUUGCAUUGCUAAAAUUGGGACAUAUCUGCUAAGGAGAUUUGCUAUGAGAUCAUGGAUACAUAUCAAGAAAGAAAUGUCAAGGGCUUAAGGAUGAUCAGGUGCCGACUUACAAGAAUUUUUAACCCGGAACACAAUCUGUAAAAUUUGUUCUUUUGUUUAUUUUGCAGCAUAAGUUUACCAUGGAUAAAUCCAAGCUAAACUUGGGGGCUAAUGUCGGGGAUAUACCCUGCGGUGUAACCCGGCCGGAUGUAUAACCUGGCCGGACUUGGCGACUCACUAGUGACCCACCCUGACUGGACGACUCACUAAGUGACCCGCCUGGAGCUUGGCGAUUCACAGAUAACCCGCCCGAUAUUGGCGACUCAUUAGUAACCCGACGGGCGGGUUAGAUAGACAACAAGGCCCAAAGCCCAGAAGGCCGGCUCACGUUAUGAUGGGCCUGAUUAAAAGGAAAGGGAUGACAAAUAUUUCCUUUAUGAGGAAGCAAGACCCGGACUUGUAUUUAACUUGUAAGAGAAGACAGACUAGUCCUAGUCCUACUAGGACUCCACAUGUAACCCGCCCCUCUAACUUAUAUAAGGAGGGGCAGGGCUCCCCAAAGAGGGACAAGAAAGAAGAAACAAUAUCUAGGGCUAGACACAAAGGGAGAGCCGGCUUACCGCAGUGACUCUCUCAUGAUGAUAAUGAGAUCUAGCCUCAAACAGCAUGUAGGGUUGUUACCGGAUGAUGUUUCCCGGGGCCCGAAGCUGUCUAAACCCUUGUCUUGUGUCACGUCUCUCGAUUCCGAUCAACCCCUCUCAAGCUACUACAUAGAUGUGCUGUCCUCACGACUAAGUCCUUUUCACGAGGACAUCUGACGUGUUAAUUCCACGACACAAAUGAUAAUCAUGCUCAAGAUUAGAGGGAUAUUAAAUAGCAUAAUGGAUCUGAACAUAUAAUCUUCCACCAAAUAAACCAUAUAGUAAUCAACUACAAGAUGUAAUCAACACUACUAGCCACCCACAAGCACCAAUCUAAGGUUUUGGUACAAAGAUUGACACAAGAGAUGAACUAGGGUUUGAGAGGAGAUGGUGUUGUUGAAGAUGUUGAUGGAGAUGGCCCUCCCAAAGAUGGGAGAGUUGUUGGUGAUGACGAUAGCGAUGAUUUCCUCCUCCGGGAGGAAAGUUCCCCUGGCGGAAUUGCUUCGCCGAGGGCAAAAGUGCUCCUGCCCAAGUUUUGCCUCGAGAUGGCGGCGCUUCAUCCCGAAAGUCCUCCUUUGAUUUUUCUUUUCUAGGUCAAAAUAACUUUUAUACCAGAAGAUGGGCACCAAAGGUUGGCCGAGGAGGGCACAACCCACCAGGACGCGCCUUGAUAAGUCUCCAACGUAUCUAUAAUUUAUGAAGUAUUCAUGCUAUUAUAUUAUCAUUCUUGGAUGUUUUACAAUCAUUUAUAGCAACUUUAUAUCACUUUUUGGGACUAACCUAUUGACAUAGUGCCCAGUGCCAGUUGCUAUUUUUUGCUUGUUUUUUCCAUCGGAGAAAUUCAAUACCAAACGGAGUCCAAAUGCAGCGAAACUUUUUGGAGAUUUUUUGGACCAGAAGACAUCCAAUGGGCCAAAGAAGUGCCAGAGGGGAGCCCCGAGGGGGGCACAACCCACCAUGGCGCGCCCUAGGUGGGUUGUGCCCACCUCGGUGGCCUCCCGCACCGCCUCUUCGCCCUAUAAAUCGUCAAAUAUUCCAAGACCCUCGGGGUAACCCUAGAUCGGAUGUUCCGCCACCGCAAGCCUCUCUGUCCACGAAAACCAAUCUAGACUCCGUUCUGGCACCCUGCCGGAGGGGAAAAUCAUCACCAGUGGCUAGCUUCAUCAUCCCGGCGACCACCAUGAUGAGGAGGGAGUAGUUCACCCUCGGGGCUGAGGGUUUGUACCAGUAGCUAUGUGUUUAAUCUCUCUCUCUCUCUCUCUCUCUUUCUCUCUCUCUCUCUCUCGUGUUCUUGAGAUGGCACGAUAUUGAUGUAUCGCGGGCUUUGUUAAUAUAGUCGGAACAUAUGGUGUUUCCCCCUCUCUAUCUUGUUGUGAAUUGAGUUUCCCUUUGAGAUUUUGUUUUAUCAGAUUGAAUACUUUUAUGAAUUUGAGAACACCUGAUGUAUGUCUUGCAUAUGAAUACCCGUGGUGACAAUAGGGCAUUAUAUCGAUUCACUUGAGAUAUGUUUUGGCACUCAAAUCACAGAUUCCUGAGGUGACAUUGGGGCAAUCUAUGCAUAUGGGCUGAUGCACGUUCUGGUCUUUUGUUUCUCUGGUAGAAAUCUUGGGCACAAAUGGUUCUUUGUGUUGGAUUGAGUAUUAUGAAUUUGAAUUUGCUUUGGUGCUAUUUUAGUAUGAACUCUUGAUAGAUCGAUCAGAAAGAAUAACUUAGUGUUAUUUUAGUACGAACUCUUGAUAGAUCGAUCGGAAAGAAUAACUUGGUGUUAUUUUAGUAUGAACUCUUGGAUAUAUCGAUCGGAAAGAAUAUCUACAAACAAUUUCUUCUUAUAUUCUCCGCUAGAUACAAACUUUGGAGUGAUUCUUCAUCGCAUGUUGAGGGAUGGUUAUAUGAUCCAAUUAGAUUAGCAUUGUUGAGAAAUUGCACUAGCGAAAGUACGGACCCUAGGCCUCAUUUUCAAGCAUUGCAAUAUCGUUUGUGCUCCGUUUUAUCAAUUGCUACCUUGCUAUUUUUUAUUGUUCUUACUACAAAAACCAAUAUCUACUAUCCAUAUUACACUUAUAUCACCAUCUCUUCUCCAAACUAGUGCACCUAUAUUACCAUUGUAUUUGGUGUGUUGGGGAUACAAGAGACUUUUUAUUAUUUGGUUGCAGGGUUGUUUGAGAGAGACCAUCUUCAUCCUACACCUCCCACGGAUUGAUAAACCUUAAGUCAUCCACUUGAGGGAAAAUUUCUACUGUGCUACAAAACUCUGUGCUUGGAGGCCCAACAUGAGUCUACAAGAAUAAAGUUGCGUACUAGACAUCACGCCUGCGCUCCCUAGCACGCCCAGGUGGGUUGCGCCCACCUGGGGGGGGGGCUCUGGUAGUUAUUUGCUCCAAUAUUCUUUUAUAUAUUUCAAAACAAUUCUCCGUAAAUUUUCAGCUCAUUUGAAGAUGUGCGGAAUAGGUGACUCUAACAUAGCUUUUCUAGGUCCAGAAUUCCACCUGGCGGAAUUCUCCCUCUUUUGUGUAAACUUUGCAUAUUAUGAGAGAAAAUGCAUUAGAAUUACUCCAUAAAUCAUUAUUAUGCAUAAAACCAUUAUAAAUAACAGUAGGAAAACAUGAUGUCAAAUGUACGUAUCAACUCUCUCAAGUUUAUACCUCGCUUUUACUCAAGAGAAAACCAAAAUCGAAAAACAUGUCAACAUGCUUAGAGAGAGAGAGAGUGUGUGAGAACCUGGAAUUAACUUCCAGACCCUCCUGUGUAUAUUUGUCAACCCUAGGAUCAUUGUUGACAACACAGCGAAAUGAUAUCAUUGCACAGUAUGUAAAAGGAAUUACAAAUUUAAAUAUAUCUUGCCACAAGGCAUACCUAGAUAAAUGUCUCAUGACAUUUAUUACAUUCAGAAAAACAGCGGAAAGUACAAUGAGUAGCAACUCCAUCUCAUCCACAGGCAGUCGAUAUAGUCCACAUGACCUCACUCCUACAGAUUGCCAUAGUAGUCGUAGUCAUCACCUUCAUCUUCAUGGAUUUCUGUUGUUCAACAAAAAUAUUGCCAUGAGUACAUUACGUACUCAACAUGCCUCUAAUAGCUACAUGUGACUUCAAAGGAAGGCUGUAUGGCUCAUUUGCAUAAAAGCUAAUUUUGUUUGAAAAUAAUUUAGCAGUUGGAUAAAAGAAGUUUCUGAUGAAAACAUGUUUUAUCUCCAGAAUAACUUUCAUAAAGUGAGGAUCCUCGAUCAACUCACACUCUUCACAGGUUCCAAGAAUAUAGGGGAAAGAGAGAAUAAGAAAGACAGGUCCUGUAUGUCAAGAAAGAUUCAUGUGUCAUCCAUGACCGUGGACACGGCUAUUCGAAUAGUUUUACACUCUGCAGAGGUUGUAAACUUUACCCACAUGACACAAUCCCGACUUGUUGCCACUAGCCGUCACUAGCAUAGUACACCAUUUGGUAUACCGGCAGGGAGAUUGUGACGAGGUCUUUCACUAGACCAAAGUUACUGUGCCAAGCCCACUAGGUUUCAACACGGAAGUAACCGCAGUUCACAGUCCGGGCCCCCCUUUUGUGCCGAGGAUACUCCUCGCAAGGCAGCUAUCCCAUCUGCGGUACGGCAGUCACGACAAUAAGAGUGAACUAACUAAUUAACCAAGUCAAUGCCCAUAUAGCAUGUGGUUGUACUGUUAUCACAAUCUUCAAAUCCAAGACUUAUUAGGCCUCAUGCGGUACGGACGACUGAUUGUCCCCUUCAUUUAUGAAAGGCAGCCAAUCGCUCCUUCAAUCCUUGAUUCAGUUGUCGCCCGCGCCAGUAUUCAGAUGGUAAGUUUCACCCAGAGUAGAAGAGAAUAGAGAAGGUCAACAAGCGCCAACCGGCCUAGCUCAGUGGUAAGUUUCAACUGUCAAUGACUCAGAGGUCAUUCAACAAAGCACCUAUAGGGUAAUAAGCAUGGCUAAGCAUUUCUACUCUACAAGAAUACUACAAUUCUACUCAGGUGUCAAGUGAAUGGCCGACAAGCAGAUCAAGGUAAUGUGUCAAUUGACACACUAGCUACGAGAAUAAAAAGCAUGCGUGUAGUAACCAUAAAACUCAAUGCAAUUUUGUAAACAUAGGAUAAGUAUGAUCAAAGAAGGAGGCAUGCCUUCGUUGUUAAUUCCUUCUUUGAUAACCUGGUUUUGUCCAUCUCCAACAUCGUCGUCACUCCCUACUCAUAGUAAUGAUAGCAAAAGACAAACAAUAAAUAGAAAAGCAAUAGUAAAUCCAAAUCGAAACAAAAUUAAGUGGAUGGAUAAGAUAUUGAUCAAGAUGGAUAUUCCAGAACAAGGUAGCAUGAUAGGAAGGUAAGAGAUAUGAUUCAACGAAGGGACAAGGUUAAGUUGACACGAUUGAGGAAGGCUUUGCAAUCAAUACUAAUGUUCUGUUAUGAACUAGUAGUGCCCACCACACAUCUCGACUAACCAUGUAGAAACUACCGUAUAACGAACACACUGACAUCAGCACUCAUGGAAUGGAACCAUCCUAUGCAUUUUAACUACACAAACUCAACAUGACAUGAUAAAUGUGAAAGUUAACCAUGAUAAAUAUUUAGAUCUAUAGAAUCUAAAUAUUUAUAAUGGUCAGUUGCAACCAAGCAUAUACAUCAACUAUAUAAUAACUGAAAAGCAAGUGUUGCGUAAUACGACCAAACCAACAUUAUAGACCAUACUAGUUAAGCAAUCAAACAUCAUUCAACAACAUGAAUUGAAUGAUCUAGAUAUAGCCCUAAAACACAAUAAAAAUAAAAUAGGACCAAAUCCACUACAUCAAAUCAAUUCGUUUGUCAAACAAUUAACAAGAAACAAUACAACCCAUGGAACAAAUGGAUGAAAAACUAUCCUAGACAUGAUAUGAUUAAGAGUAAUGGUCAACCAAAAAUAAAUAUUCAAAUGAAUCCAAAUAUUUAUAAUGGUCAACAACAAGCUAAGUGUAAACCUCAAUCAUAAAACUAUAAAUAAGCAUUUUUAUAGCAAAGAGCCAAUCCAAUACUAUGGUCGAAACUAAAUAAACAAAUAAAUCAAGACACAUCUUCACACGAAGCAUGUGAGCAUAUUAUCACUAGAGGUCUCAAUGAAUAACACAUGUAUCACACACACGAGUGAUCAUGAUAAUAUACUAAACCUAGGAUAUGGUCUUAUUACUAAAGAACGACUAAUAUCAAUAACCACUAGCAGUUAUAAUAUCACCACAAACACAACUCAACUAACAUGAAAGAUAAACUAGUCUAAGCAAGCGAUGAAGUAUUGCAACACAUAUACAACACACAUAAUAGUAACAUGAGACAAGUCAAUCAUAUAAGAGCAACACAAGUACAACUAUAACACAUGGAACAUAAUAACCCAUGAAAGAUCACUAGCAUGACUUGAUGUCUAGACUUAGGCAUACCACAAAUGGAACAGUAAGAUAGACCAGAUAUGAUGCUAAGCAUGGAUGAUCAUCACACGAGAUACCAAAAUAUGCAACUAAUAAAAUGCAACGUGUAACUAUGAGAUAACCUAGUUGAUAACAAGUGACCUAAAGAUCAAGAACAACGUUAGCAUACAACCCUAGCAUGCUAGUUAUGAUAAAUGAGAACAUGGAAACAUACGAAGCACGUAGGAAAGUAUACAACUAGAUCAUCUCAUCAACCAAAUCAACAUGCGUUAUAGAAGCAUGAAUAUCAAGAUCAUGACAUGCAUUUCUAUUUAGUAUAACCUACAGUACAUCGGACACACAACUAUGCACCAUACAACACAUGAAUUGGUACACACAUGCUACACAGUUUGGUUAUACAACACCACAUAAUGGUAUUGUAUUGAUAAAGAAAGAUGAAAUCAUACAAAAACUAGCAUGUGUCUCUACCAAGCAAUAGCUAAUAAUAUUCACCAUCAUAUCAUAAAUACUAGCAAUGUUAUAACACAUGGAAUCACACAAUAAAACAACCAUUCAACGUUUGAGCAAGUGCUAGUAUGACAUGGUAUUGUCCUAGGUAAAUAAAACAUGAAAAUAAGAAAAUAAGAAAACAUGAACUAUUUAAUAAUUAGAGAAAUCAAACAAAGCUUAGAAUAAUCUUACAAAGUCAUAAGCAUGGAGACAAUUCACCAAAAAUCUGUACGCAUUCUCCACAUAGAACAAUAAACAGUACUAAGCAUUAUUUAAAUGAGAACAACACGAUUACGUAUCAAUGCUCCAAAUCUAAUUAAAAUAGUAACACCCGACAAGCAUGUACGAACAAUAAUAAUUCGAUACACCAAUCAACUCCUACACAUGGUAAGAAUUUGCAAAGACUUGUACAGAGACAUCAUAGGACUACGCACGCACCAAAGAAAAAUAUCAUCAAGAACAAACUAUAUUUGACAAUUUAAAUAAUCCUACAAACAUGACUAAUAAAUCACAUGACACUCUCAAAAAAAUUGAGAUGAUUAGCUUGCACUCCUAACAUAUCCGGAACAUAUGAAUGAUAAAAUAUUAGCACAAAAGUUCACGGGUGAAUUAUUACACAUGUGAUAAUUCACUAGACCUAUUGCAAACGCAUAUCACACUACUAUAUGAUGCAGGAAAUUAACACAUGAAACCGUACAAAACUAUAUUAAAAUAUAUCGUUCUAAUUAAAACAGCAACUGGAUAGAAUAGAUUUUAAAAACUGAGUUGCCGAUCUAGCAAGCUAGUUCCACCAAUAGGUUCCUAUCGUCAUAGGGAGCAUUUGAUACAUUCGGCAUGAAGUCAUCCGAGGAACAAAAACUAUGGAAACAUGCCGAUGCCACCGAAUGGCCUCUUAUUUUGGACGCACGUGGUCAACUAAAGAAAUAGGCCCUAAAAUGAUGCCUAACAGAUGGACAAGGUAUAGGGAAGUGAGCCUGCAAAAGGAAUUGGACAAGAGCACACUGAACUUGACGAAACAACGUGAUGAACUCGACGAACAGUGUAGACGUACAUGCAGAAUUCUUCGCGUGUGGUUGAUGGAUCGCGUUCUUUCUUCUCUGAAUGGAGCUGUGGCAUGGAGAGGGGCCUUGGGGCGCAAGGGUGCUGAUGGAGAUGGUCUACGCCAUCGGGAACAAGCACCGGCAUCCAUGGAACAGCAGCAGAUUGAGGAGGGUUCUUGGUAAAACAAAGAUGGGAGAAGGCAGGAGGGCUGAGAAGAAUGUAAGAGGAGAUCGGGGCGCUCGUCCAUGUACUCACGGAUUUGGAAACGGUGAAGUAUUAAGGAAGUUAGAGGAGGAGUGCAUGGUGGCUGUAGGUCUUCUCUGUACUGUGUGCGCUUACGUGAGGGUGGAGGAAGGAGAAGCGCUUGGGGUUGACGUUGGAAGAUGGGCAAGUAUCUUCAUAUUUGUAAAGGUAGCAAUUAAAGGGAAAGAGGAGGAGUUUCCAUCAUGCCUGUACGCUUCCUAUUCUGUGUGCCUUUUCUCUUCUCGUAUGUGUGUGUUGGUUGUUUCCCUUCUGGACUUGUUUUUUUUUUUGAGGGGUUCCCCUUCUGGAAUUUUUUUUUGAGCAUCAGUACAGACACAAGCGCUCAUAUACACGCGCAUACACUCACCCCUAUGAACGCACACACGCACACCCUACCCCUAUGAGCACCUCCGAGAGACUGAGCCGGCAUAUCAUCUUGAGAUUUACGAAGCCAACGUAGGCGCCUCAUCGUCGAUGGGAACGUCUCCUCCCACUGAAAGCGCAUCGCCGGAAAUCCUGAAAUAAAUCCAGGAAUAAUGCGAGCACCAGGAUUUGAACCCUGGUGGGUUGGGGAUACCACUAUCCACCUAACCAUCUCAACCACAGGUUGGUUCGCCCCCUUCUGGAGUUGUGAACGUACAGGAGGAGAGGCGUUCAUUGGAUGGGCCAAGUGGAUGGAAGCCCAUGUGGAGAGGAGGGGAGGGAAAAAAUAGAUGGGCUAAGCCCAUGUGACUUGAGAAAGAAAACAAAAACAAUUGGAUGAAUCCAGGGAAGAGAAGAAAGAUGUACAGAUGCAUGUAUUGGUGGAUUUGUCUCAGAAACAAUGUAUGCCUGGAUGGAAAGUAUGAGUAAGAUAGGUGGACAAUUCAAAUGGUAGAACGUAUCUAAUGGUCCGAUGGAAUUUGGCCCGAGAUUGAGAAAAGUAAAAGAAAUUGUUUUCCGUUUUAGGAAAUCUAGAGAAGGAAAAGAAGCUCGAGCAAUCAAACGAAUUUCAGAAAAAACAAAGAAAAACAAAGGCGCACAACUAAAAGAAAAGAAGUAAAAUCAAAUUUUUAAUUUAGGUUCACGUUAGUUCAAAUUAAAUCCUUCAAAUUAUAAAAGUCCAAUUCAAGCUUUAUUAACAAAUAAAACAAAUGAAAAUUUCUCGCCCUGAUUUUUGGAAAACUUUUUCUUAAACAUCCCGUGAAUUAGGAUGUUACAGAUCUACCCACCUUAAAAUAAAUCUCGUCCCCGAGAUUCAUGCUGACUAAAGAGAAUGGGUUUGGGUUAGCUUCGUCUUUGACACAGUUCUUCUCAAAAACAUGUAGAAUCACAGUUCAUUCUGAACUUGGUGAAAGGCGGCUUUGGGGUCUUGAUUGGAGAUACUUCGAUUGUCGAUACUUUAUCCGGCUUGCUCAAGGCUUGGACGCAGUCCUUCGGCCUUGGACGAUGUAAGUCUCAUAGCUUCUCUUAGCGGUUGAACAUUCUUCGGUCUUGCCCUUCAUCUUUGGGUGAAGCCUUGAUACGGCUGGAGUCAUUGAACUUUCCUUCUGGUUGAACUUAUAGUAGUUGUAGUAAAGAUCUUGAAAUCUUCGUAUUCUUUGCAAAUAAAGGUCUGCAAAUCUUCAGUCUCAACAUGAGUAAUCGUACUACCCCUCCCCCCCUUAAAAGAGGUUUUCCAUAAGGUUCACUUUGAUUAUAGAUCUCUGAGCGGUUGUAGUGGCUUCCUUGCUCUCAAAGUGUCUUCCAGGGUUUAUAGAGAAGAGAGAAAAGCAUAAAGAUGAGUAAUAGAAUCCUACAGAAGGCGGAGAUACCCCAGAAGAUAGACAAAAGAUAACACUCAGAUAAUCAUGAAACUAUCCACAUAUAACUCAAAAGCAACUCAUUUUGGCAAAUAUGGUUUAGUAUGACUGCAUUGGAAAAAACCAAAAAUAUGUAGACAAUACUCACACAAUAAAGGUUUUGUCUCCAAGCUAUGAGUUCUAUCACCACAAGGGUGUUAACCAAUCUAAUCCUAUAUGGCCGGUCACAAUAAAUCUUGGAGCAAAUCUUCAACGAUGAUGAACGGACCAUGAUCGAUGGUUGUUGACUUCUUGAGUUCUCGAAGUGUCUUCUCUUGAAAAAAUGUUGCUACUCAAAGCUUCACGGUUUGAAGUUAUCUUGAAAUUCUUGGCACAUCUUGUGAAGCUUCUAACUUUUCAACACCAAGGGCUAGAAAGGGGUUUCAUACUAUAAAGAAGAAGGUAGAGAAGUAGAGUUUAAACUUUGCUUGAAUAACACCAGUUAAGUAGAGAAAUAUAGAAGGAGAAGACUACGAGAACAUCCUUUUCAUAAAAAUAGUUUUUCUUAUAACAAUCGUCCCUAAGGCUUUCCAUUUCUAACUAAGGCCACGCGACUAGGUCGACAUCGUCUCUGAUACCACUUCUGUGAGAACCUGGAAUUAACUUCCGGACCCUCCUGUGUAUAUUUGUCAUCCCUAGGAUCAUUGUUGACAACACAGCAAAAUGAUAUCAUUGCACAAUAUGUAAAAGGAAUUACAAAUUUAAAUAUAUCUUGCCACAAGGCAUACCUAGAUAAAUGUCUCAUGACAUUUAUUACAUUCAGAAAAACAGCAGAAAGUACAAUGCGUAGCGACUCCAUCUCAGCCACAGGCAGUCGAUGUAGUCCACAUGACCUCACUCCUACAAAUCGCCAUAGUAGUCGUAGUCAUCACCUUCAUCUUCAUGGAUUUCUGUUGUUCAACAAAAAUAUUGCCAUGAGUACAUUACGUACUCAACAUGCCUCCCAGGGGAAGGUCCUAAUAGCUACAUGUGGCUUCAAAGGAAGGCUGUAUGGCUCAUUUGCAGAAAAGCUAAUUUUGUUUGAAAAUAAUUUAGCAGUCGGAUAAAAGAAGUUUCUGAUGAAAACAUGUUUUAUCUCCAGAAUAACUUUCAUAAAGUGAGGAUCCUCGAUCAACUCACACUCUUCACAGGUUCCAAGAAUAUAGGGGAAAGAGAGAAUAAGAAAGACAGGUCUUGUAUGUCAAGAAAGAUUCAUGUGUCAUCCAUGUCCAUGGACACGGCUAUUCGAAUAGUUUUACACUCUGCAGAGGUUGUACACUUUACCCACAUGACACAAUCCCGACUUGUUGCCACUAGCCGUCGCUAGCAUAGUACACCAUUUGGUAUACCGGCAGGGAGAUUGUGACGAGGUCUUUCAUUAGACCAAACUUACUGUGCCAAGCCCACUAGGUUUCAAUAAGGAAGUAACCGCAGUUCACAGUCCGGGCCCCCCUUUUGUGUCGAGGAUACUCCUCGCAAGGCAGCUAUCCCAUCUGCGGUACGGCGAUCACGAAAAUAAGAGUGAACUAACUAAUUAACCAAGCCAGUGCGCAUAUAGCAUGCGGUUGUACUGUUAUCACAAUCUUCAAAUCCAAGACUUAUUAGGCCUCAUACGGUACGGACGACUGAUUGCCCCCUUCAUUUAUGAAAGGCAGCCAAUCGCUCCUUCAAUCCUUGAUUCAGUUGUCGCCCGCGCCAGUAUUCAGAUGGUAAGUUUCACCCAGAGUAGAAGAGAAUAGAGAAGGUCAACAAGGGCCAACCGGCCUAGCUCAGUGGUAAGUUUCAACUGUCAAUGACACAGAGGUCAUUCAACAAAGCACCUAUAGGGUAAUAAGCAUGGCUAAGCAUUUCUACUCUACAAGAAUACUACAAUUCUACUCAGGUGUCAAGUGAAUGGCCGACAAGCGGAUCAAGGUAAUGUGUCAAUUGACACACUAGCUACGAGAAUAAAAAGCAUGCGUGUAGUAACCAUAAAACUCAAUGCAAUUUUGUAAACAUAGGAUAAGUAUGAUCAAAGAAGGAGGCAUGCCUUCGUUGUUAAUUCCUUCUUUGAUAACCUGGUUUUGUCCAUCUCCAAAAUCGUCGUCACUCCCUACUCGUAGUAAUGAUAGCAAAAGACAAACAAUAAAUACCAAAGCAAUAGUAAAUCCAAAUCGAAACAAAAUUAAGUGGAUGGAUAAGAUAUUGAUCAAGAUGGAUAUUCCAGAACAAGGUAGCAUGAUAGGAAGGUAAGAGAUAUGAUUCAACGAAGGGACAAGGUUAAGUUGACACGAUUGAGGAAGGCUUUGCAAUCAAUACUAAUGUUCUGUUAUGAACUAGUAGUGCCCACCACACAUCUCGACUAACCAUGUAGAAACUACCGUAUAACAAACACACUGACAUCAGCACUCAUGGAAUGGAACCAUCCUAUGCAUUUUAACAACACAAACUCAACAUGACAUGAUAAAGGUGAAAGUUAACCAUGAUAAAUAUUUAGAUCUAUAGAAUCUAAAUAUUUAUAAUAGUCAGUUGCAACCAAGCAUAUACAUCAACUAUAUAAUAACUGAAAAGCAAGUGUUGCGUAAUACGACCAAACCAACAUUAUAGACCAUACUAGUUAAGCAAGCAAACAUCAUUCAACAACAUGAAUUGAAUGAUCUAGGUAUAGCCCUAAAACACAAUCAAAAUAAAAUAGGACCAAAUCCACUACAUCAAAUCAAUUCGUUUGUCAAACAAUUAACAAGAAACAAUACAACCCAUGGAACAAAUGGAUGAAAAACUAUCCUAGACAUGAUAUGAUUAAGAGUAAUAAUCAACCACAAAUAAAUAUUCAAAUGAAUCCAAAUAUUUAUAAUGGUCAACAACAAGCUAAGUGUAAACCUCAAUCAUAAAACUAUAAAUAAGCAUUUUUAUAGCAAAGAGCCAAUCCAAUACUAUGGUCAAAACUAAAUAAAAAAAUAAAUCAAGACACAUCUUCACACGAAGCAUGUGAGCAUAUUAUCACUAGAGGUCUCAAUGAAUAACACAUGUAUCACACACACGAGUGAUCAUGAUAAUAUACUAAACCUAGGAUAUGGUCUUAUUACUAAAGAACGACUAAUAUCAAUGACCACUAGCAGUUAUAAUAUCACCACAAACACAACUCAACUAACAUGAAAGAUAAACUAAUCUAAGCAAGCGAUGAACUAUUGCAACACAUAUACAACACACAUAAUAGUAACAUGAGACAAGUCAAUCAUAUAAGAGCAACACAAGUACAACUAUAACACAUGGAACAUAAUAACCCAUGAAAGAUCACUAGCAUGACUUGAUGUCUAGACUUAGGCAUACCACAAAUGAAACAGUAAGAUAGACCAGAUAUGAUGCUAAGCAUGGAUGAUCAUCACACGAGAUACCAAAAUAUGCAACUAAUAAAAUGCAACGUGUAACUAUGAGAUAACCUAGUUGAUAACAAGUGACCUAAAGAUCAAGAACGACGUUAGCAUACAACCCUACCAUGCUAGUUAUGAUAAAUGAGAACAUGGAAACAUACUAAGCACGUAGGAAAGUAUACAACUAGAUCAUCUCAUCAACCAAAUCAACAUGCGUUAUAGAAGCACGAAUAUCAAGAUCAUGACAUGCAUUUCUAUUUAGUAUAACCUACAGUACAUCGGACACACAACUAUGCACCAUACAACACAUGAAUUGGUACACACAUGCUACACAGUCUGGUUAUACAAUCACCACAUAAUGGUAUUGUAUUGAUAAAGAAAGAUGCAAUCAUACAAAAACUAGCAUGUGUCUCUACCGAGCAAUAGCUAAUAAUAUUCACCAUCAUAUCAUAAAUACUAGCAAUGUUAUAACACAUGGAAUCACACAAUAAAACAACCAUUCAACGUUUGAGCAAGUGCUAGUAUGGCAUGGUAUUGUCCUAGGUAAAUAAAACACAUCGAAUAAUUAUCAAGAUGUAAUAAACUAACUUCUAUGCCACAAGAAAUAAAUCCUACAAAGGAACACAAUUAUAACAUGACAUAAAAGCAUCGAACCAUGUAAACUUGGAUAAUAAACAUCUAGAAAAGAAGAGGAACUGGGAAAUUAUAUUCUACACAACGAACUAUAAUAUACUCAUUUCCAAAGAACAAGACAUUUCAUUUAACCUCUAGCAUAAGCAAAACCAUGCGACACACCUAUAAGAAAAAUAACAAUAAUAUGAACAUCUAUUGUAGGAAUGACAUGAUUUCAAACCAAUAAAAUAAACAUGUGAGAUGGACGAACAUGAAUAUGUAAACUAUGUCUAAUAUAUCUUCAUGCUAAACAAUAAGAAAAUAAGAAAACAUGAACUACUUAAUAAUUAGAGAAAUCAAACAAAGCUUAGAAUAAUCUUACAAAGUCAUAAGCAUGGAGACAAUUCACCAAAAAUCUGUACGCAUUCUCCACAUAGAAUAAUAAACAGUACUAAGCAUUAUUUAAAUGAUAACAACACAGUUACGUAUGAAUGCUCCAAAUCUAAUUAAAAUAGUAACACCCGACAAGCAUGUACGAACAAUAAUAAUUUGAUACACCAAUCAACUCCUACACAUGGUAAGAAUUUGCAAAGACUUGUACAGAAGCAUCAUAGGACUACGCACGCACCAAAGAAAAAUAUCAUCAAGAACAAACUAUAUUUGACAAUUUAAAUAAUCCUACAAACAUGACUAAUAAAUCACAUGACACUGUCAAAAAAAUUUAGAUGAUUAGCCUGCACUCCUAACAUAUCCGGAACAUAUGAAUGAUAAAAUAUUAGCACAAAAGUUCACGGGUGAAUUAUUACACAUGUCAUAAUUCACUAGACCUAUUGCAAACGCAUAUCACACUACUAUAUGAUGCAGGAAAUUAACACAUGAAAUCGUACAAAACUAUAUUAAAAUAUAUCGUUCUAAUUAAAACAACAACUGGAUAGAAUAGAUUCUAAAAACUGAGUUGCCGAUCUAGCAAGCUAGUUCCACCAAUAGGUUCCUAUCGUCAUAGGGAGCAUUUGAUACAUUCGGCAUGAAGUCAUCCGAGGAACAAAAACUAUGGAAACAUGCCGAUGCCACCGAAUGGCCUCUUAUUUUGGACGCACGUGGUCAACUAAAGAAAUAGGCCCUAAAAUGAUGCCUAACAGAUGGACAAGGUAUAGGGAAGUGAGCCUGCAAAAGGAAUUGGACAAGAGCUCACUGAACUUGACGAAACAACGCGAUGAACUCGACGAACAGUGUAGACGUACAUGCAGAAUUCUUCGCGUGUGGUUGAUGGAUCACCUUCUUUCUUCUCUGAAUGGAGCUGUGGCAUGGAGAGGGGCCUUGGGGCGCAAGGGUGCUGAUGGAGAUGGUCUACGCCAUCGGGAACAAGCACCGGCAUCCAUGGAACAGCAGCAGAUUGAGGAGGGUUCUUGGUAAAACAAAGAUGGGAGAAGGCAGGAGGGCUGAGAAGAAUGUGAGAGGAGAUCGGGGCGCUCGUCCAUGUACUCACGGAUUUGGAAACGGUGAAGUAUUAAGGAAGUUAGAGGAGGGGUGCAUGGUGGCUGUAGGUCUUCUCUGUACUGUGUGCGCUUACGUGAGGGUGGAGGAAGGAGAAGCGCUUGGGGUUGACGUUGGAAGAUGGGCAAGUAUCUUCAUAUUUGUAAAGGUAGCAAUUAAAGGGAAAGAGGAAGAGUUUCCAUCAUGCCUGUACGCUUCCUAUUCUGUGUGCGUUUUCUCUUCCCGUAUGUGUGUGUUGGUUGUUCCCCUUCCGGAGUUGUUUCGGCAUAUCAUCUUGAGAUUUAUGAAGCCAUCGUAGGCGCCUCGUCGUCGACGGGAACGUCUCCUCCCACUGAAAGCGCAUCGCCGGAAAUUCUGAAAUAAAUCCAGGAAUAAUGCGAGCACCAGGAUUUGAACCCUGGUGGGUUGGGAUACCACUAUCCACCUAACCAUCUCAACCACAGGUUGGUUCGCCCCCUUCUGGAGUUGUGAACGUACAGGAGGAGAGGCGUUCAUUGGAUGGGCCAAGUGGAUGGAAGCCCAUGUGGAGAGGAGGGGAGGGAAAAAAUAGAUGGGCUAAGCCCAUGUGACUUGAGAAAGAAAACAAAAACAAUUGGAUGAAUCCAGGGAAGAGAAGAGAGAUGUACAGAUGCAUGUAUUGGUGGAUUUGUCUCAGAAACAAUGUAUGCAUGGAUGGAAAGUAUGAGUAAGAUAGGUGGACAAUUCAAAUGGUAGAACGUAUCUAAUGGUCCGAUGGAAUUUGGCCCGAGAUUGAGAAAAGGAAAAGAAAUUGAUUUCCGUUUUAGGAAAUCUAGAGAAGCAAAAGAAGCUCGAGCAAUCAAACGAAUUUCAGAAAAAACGAAGAAAAACAAAGGCGCCCAACUAAAAGAAAAGAAGUAAAAUCAAAUUUUUAAUUUAGGUUCACGUUAGUUCAAAUUAAAUCCUUCAAAUUAUAAAAGUCCAAUUCAAGCUUUAUUAGCAAAUAAAACAAAUGAAAAUUUCUCGCCCUGAUUUUUGGAAAACUUUUUCUUAAACAUCCCGUGAAUCAGGAUGUUACAGACCUACCCACCUUAAAAGAAAUCUCGUCCCCGAGAUUCAGGCUGACUAAAGAGAAUGGGUUUGGGUUAGCUUCGUCUUUGACACAGUUCUUCUCAGAAACUUGUCGAAUCACAGUUCAUUCUGAACUUGGUGAAAGGCGGCUUUGGGGUCUUGAUUGGAGAUACUUCGAUUGUCGAUACUUUAUCCAGCUUGCUCAAGGCUUGGACGCAGUCCUUCGGCCUUGGACGAUGUAAGUCUCAUAGCUUCUCUUAGCGGUUGAACAUUCUUCAGUCUUGCCCUUCAUCUUUGGUUGAAGCCUUGAUACGGCUGGAGUCAUUGAACUUUCCUUCUGGUUGAACUUAUAGUAGUUGUAGUAAAGAUCUUGAAAUCUUCGUAUUCUUUGCAAAUAAAGGUCUGCAAAUCUUCAGUCUCAACAUGAGUAAUCGUACUACCCCCCCCCCCCUUAAAAGAGGUUUUCCAUAAGGUUCACUUUGAUUAUAGAUCUCCAAGCGGUUGUAGUGGCUUCCUUGCUCUCAAAGUGUCUUCCAGGGUUUAUAGAGAAGAGAGAAAAGCAUAAAGAUGAGUAAUAGAAUCCUACAGAAGGCGGAGAUACCCCAGAAGAUAGACAAAAGAUAACACUCAGAUAAUCAUGAAACUAUCCACAUAUAACUCAAAAGCAACUCAUUUUGGCAAAUAUGGUUUUAGUAUGACUGCAUAGGAAAAAACCAAAAAUAUGCAGACAAUACUCACACAAUAAAGGUUUUGUCUUCAAGCUACGAGUUCUAUCACCACAAGGGUGUUAACCAAUCUAAUCCUAUAUGGCCGGUCACAAUAAAUCUUGGAGCAAAUCUUCAACGAUGAUGAACGGACCAUGAUUGAUGGUUGUUGACUUCUUGAGUUCUCGAAGUGUCUUCUCUUGAAAAAAUGUUGCUAAGUUAUCUUGAAAUUCUUGGCACAUCUUGUGAAGCUUCUAACUUUUCAACACCAAGGGCUAGAAAGGGGUUUCAUACUAUAAAGAAGAAGGAAGAGAAGUAGAGUUUAAACUUUGCUUGAAUAACAUCAGUUAAGUAGAGAAAUAUAGAAGGAGAAGACUAUGAGAAUAUUCUUUUCAUAAAAAUAGUUUUUCUUAUAACAAUAGUCCCUAAGGCUUUCCAUUUCUAACUAAGGCCACGCGACUAGGUCGACAUCGUCUCUGAUACCACUUCCGUGAGAACCUGGAAUUAACUUCCGGACCCUCCUGUGUAUCUUUGUCAACCCUAGGAUCAUUGUUGACAACACAGCAAAAUGAUAUCAUUGCACAAUAUGUAAAAGGAAUUACAAAUUUAUAUAUAUCUUGCCACAAGGCAUACCUAGAUAAAUGUCUCAUGACAUUUAUUACAUUCAGAAAAACAGUAGAAAGUACAAUGCGUAGCGACUCCAUCUCAGCCACAGGCAGUCGAUGUAGUCCACAUGACCUCACUCCUACAGAUCGCCAUAGUAGUCGUAGUCAUCACCUUCAUCUUCAUGGAUUUCUGUUGUUCAACAAAAAUAUUGCCAUGAGUACAUUACGUACUCAACAUGCCUCCCAGGGGAAGGUCCUAAUAGCUACAUGUGGCUUCAAAGGAAGGCUGUAUGGCUCAUUUGCAUAAAAGCUAAUUUUGUUUGAAAAUAAUUUAGCAGUCGGAUAAAAGAAGUUUCUGAUGAAAACAUGUUUUAUCUCCAGAAUAACUUUCAUAAAGUGAGGAUCCUCGAUCAACUCACACUCUUCACAGGUUCCAAGAAUAUAGGGGAAAGAGAGAAUAAGAAAGACAGGUCUUGUAUGUCACGAAAGAUUCAUGUGUCAUCCAUGACCGUGGACACGGCUAUUUGAAUAGUUUUACACUCUGCAGAGGUUGUACACUUUACCCACACGACACAAUCCCGACUUGUUGCCACUAGCCAUCGCUAGCAUAGUACACCAUUUGGUAUACCGGCAGGGAGAUUGUCACGAGGUCUUUCAUUAGACCAAACUUACUGUGCCAAGCCCACUAGGUUUCAACACGGAAGUAACCGCAGUUCAUAGUUCGAGCCCCCCUUUUGUGUCGAGGAUACUCCUGGCAAGGCAGCUAUCCCAUUUGCGGUACGGCGAUCACGACAAUAAGAGUGAACUAACUAAUUAACCAAGCCAAUGCCCAUAUAGCAUGUGGUUGUACUAUUAUCACAAUCUUCAAAUCCAAGACUUAUUAGGCCUCAUACGGUACGGACGACUGAUUGCCCCCUUCAUUUAUGAAAGGCAGCCAAUCACUCCUUCAAUCCUUGAUUCAGUUGUCGCCCGCGCCAGUAUUCAGAUGGUAAGUUUCACCCAGAGUAGAAGAGAAUAGAGAAGGUCAAGAAGGGCCAACCGGCCUAGCUCAGUGGUAGGUUUCAACUGUCAAUGACUCAGAGGUCAUUCAAACAAAGCACCUAUAGGGUAAUAAGCAUGGCUAAGCAUUUCUACUCUACAAGAAUACUACAAUUCUACUCAGGUGUCAAGUGAAUGGCCGACAAGCGAAUCAAGGUAAUGUGUCAAUUGACACACUAGCUACGAGAAUAAAAAGCAUGCGUGUAGUAACCAUAAAACUCAAUGCAAUUUUGUAAACAUAGGAUAAGUAUGAUCAAAGAAGGAGGCAUGCCUUCGUUGUUAAUUCCUUCUUUGAUAACCUGGUUUUGUCCAUCUCCAAAAUUGUCGUCACUCCCUACUCGUAGUAACGAUAGAAAAAGACAAACAAUAAAUACCAAAGCAAUAGUAAAUCCAAAUCGAAACAAAAUUAAGUGGAUGGAUAAGAUAUUGAUCAAGAUGGAUAUUCCAGAACAAGGUAGCAUGAUAGGAAGGUAAGAGAUAUGAUUCAACGAAGGGACAAGGUUAAGUUGACACGAUUGAGGAAGGCUUUGCAAUCAAUACUAAUGUUCUGUUAUGAACUAGUAGUGCCCACCACACAUCUCGACUAACCAUGUAGAAACUACCGUAUAACAAACACACUGACAUUAGCACUCAUGGAAUGGAACCAUCCUAUGCAUUUUAACUACACAAACUCAACAUGACAUGAUAAAGGUGAAAGUUAACCAUGAUAAAUAUUUAGAUCUAUAGAAUCUAAAUAUUUAUAAUAGUCAGUUGCAACCAAGCAUAUACAUCAACUAUAUAAUAACUGAAAAGCAAGUGUUGCGUAAUACGACCAAACCAACAUUAUAGACCAUACUAGUUAAGCAAUCAAACAUCAUUCAACAACAUGAAUUGAAUGAUCUAGGUAUAGCCCUAAAACACAAUCAAAAUAAAAUAGGACCAAAUCCACUACAUCAAAUCAAUUCGUUUGUCAAACAAUUAACAAGAAACAAUACAACCCAUGGAACAAAUGGAUAAAAAACUAUCCUAGACAUGAUAUGAUUAAGAGUAAUGAUCAACCAUAAAUAAAUAUUCAAAUGAAUCCAAAUAUUUAUAAUGGUCAACAACAAGCUAAGUGUAAACCUCAAUCAUAAAACUAUAAAUAAGCAUUUUUAUAGCAAAGAGCCAAUCCAAUAUUAUGGUCAAAACUAAAUAAACAAAUAAAUCAAGACACAUCUUCACACGAAGCAUGUGAGCAUAUUAUCACUAGAGGUCUCAAUGAAUAACACAUGUAUCACACACACGAGUGAUCGUGAUAAUAUACUAAACCUAGGAUAUGGUCUUAUUACUAAAGAACGACUAAUAUCAAUAACCACUAGCAGUUAUAAUAUCACCACAAACACAACUCAACUAACAUGAAAGAUAAACUAGUCUAAGCAAGCGAUGAAGUAUUGCAACACAUAUACAACACACAUAAUAGUAACAUGAGACAAGUCAAUCAUAUAAGAGCAACACAAGUACAACUAUAACACAUGGAACAUAAUAACCCAUGAAAGAUCACUAGCAUGACUUGAUGUCUAGACUUAGGCAUACCACAAAUGAAACAGUAAGAUAGACCAGAUAUGAUGCUAAGCAUGGAUGAUCAUCACACGAGAUACCAAAAUAUGCAACUAAUAAAAUGCAACGUGUAACUAUGAGAUAACCUAGUUGAUAACAAGUGACCUAAAGAUCAAGAACGACGUUAGCAUACAACCCUACCAUGCUAGUUAUCAUAAAUGAGAACAUGGAAACAUACUAAGCUCGUAGGAAAGUAUACAACUAGAUCAUCUCAUCAACCAAAUCAACAUGCGUUAUAGAAGCACGAAUAUCAAGAUCAUGACAUGCAUUUCUAUUUAGUAUAACCUACAGUACAUCGGACACACAACUAUGCACCAUACAACACAUGAAUUGGUACACACAUGCUACACAGUCUGGUUAUACAAUCACCACAUAAUGGUAUUGUAUUGAUAAAGAAAGAUGAAAUCAUACAAAAACUAGCAUGUGUCUCUACCAAGCAAUAGCUAAUAAUAUUCACCAUCAUAUCAUAAAUACUAGCAAUGAUAUAACACAUGGAAUCACACAAUAAAACAACCAUUCAACGUUUGAGCAAGUGCUAGUAUGACAUGGUAUUGUCCUAGGUAAAUAAAACACAUCGUAUAAUUAUCAAGAUGUAAUAAACUAACUUCUAUGCCACAAGAAAUAAAUCCUACAAAGGAACACAAUUAUAACAUGACAUAAAAGCAUCGAACCAUGUAAACUUGGAUAAUAAACAUCUAGAAAAGAAGAGGAACUGGAAAAUUAUAUUCUACACAACGAACUAUAAUGUACUCAUUUCCAAAGAACAAGACAUUUCAUUUAACCUCUAGCAUAAGCAAAACCAUGCGACACACCUAUAAGAAAAAUAACAAUAAUAUGAACAUCUAUUGUAGGAAUGACAUGAUUUCAAACCAAUAAAAUAAACAUGUGAGAUGGACGAACAUGAAUAUGUAAACUAUGUCUAAUAUAUCUUCAUGCUAAACAAUAAGAAAAUAAGAAAACAUGAACUAGUUAAUAAUUAGAGAAAUCAAACAAAGCUUAGAAUAAUCUUACAAAGUCAUAAGCAUGGAGACAAUUCACCAAAAAUAUGUACGCAUUCUCCACAUAGAACAAUAAACAUUACUAAGCAUUAUUUAAAUGAUAACAACACGAUUACGUAUCAAUGCUCCAAAUCUAAUUAAAAUAGUAACACCCGACAAGCAUGUACGAACAAUAAUAAUUCGAUACACCAAUCAACUCCUACACAUGGUAGGAAUUUGCAAAGACUUGUACAGAGACAUCAUAGGACUACGCACGCACCAAAGAAAAAUAUCAUCAAGAACAAACUAUAUUUGACAAUUUAAAUAAUCCUACAAACAUGAAUAAUAAAUCACAUGACACUCUCAAAAAAAUUGAGAUGAUUAGCCUGCACUCCUAACAUAUCCGGAACAUAUGAAUGAUAAAAUAUUAGCACAAAAGUUCACGGGUGAAUUAUUACACAUGUGAUAAUUCACUAGACCUAUUGCAAACGCAUAUCACACUAUGAUGCAGGAAAUUAACACAUGAAACCGUACAAAACUAUAUUAAAAUAUAUCGUUCUAAUUAAAACAACAACUGGAUAGAAUAGAUUCUAAAAACUGAGUUGCCGAUCUAGCAAGCUAGUUCCACCAAUAGGUUCCUAUCGUCAUAGGGAGCAUUUGAUACAUUCGGCAUGAAGUCAUCCGAGGAACAAAAACUAUGGAAACAUGCCGAUGUCACCGAAUGGCCUCUUAUUUUGGACGCACGUGGUCAACUAAAGAAAUAGGCCCUAAAAUGAUGCCUAACAGAUGGACAAGGUAUAGGGAAGUGAGCCUGCAAAAGGAAUUGGACAAGAGCUCACUGAACUUGACGAAACAACGCGAUGAACUCGAUGAACAGUGUAAACGUACAUGCAGAAUUCUUCGCGUGUGGUUGAUGGAUCGCCUUCUUUCUUCUCUGAAUGGAGCUGUGGCAUGGAGAGGGGCCUUGGGGCGCAAGAGUGCUGAUGGAGAUGGUCUACGCCAUCGGGAACAAGCACCGGCAUCCAUGGAACAGCAGCAGAUUGAGGAGGGUUCUUGGUAAAACAAAGAUGGGAGAAGGCAGGAGGGCUGAGAAGAAUGUAAGAGGAGAUCGGGGCGCUCGUCCAUGUACUCACGGAUUUGGAAACGGUGAAGUAUUAAGGAAGUUAGAGGAGGGGUGCAUGGUGUGCGCUUACGUGAGGGUGGAGGAAGGAGAAGCGCUUGGGGUUGACGUUGGAAGAUGGGCAAGUAUCUUCAUAUUUGUAAGGGAAGUGUUUACAAACGGCGCACCAGCCGAACCGUUCCGCCAGUUCGCACGCCACGCUGGCAACGCGCCCGCGCCAUCCCCGCCUCCUUCCUUACGUGCCUCCAUCCCCUACCUUCAGCCUACGUGCGCGCACCUCCCCUCCCCCGAGCUGCGACUGGGCCUCUACGAACUCCAUCGCCGGCGGCCAGGCGCUCCCUCGCCGGCCGCCAUGGCUGCCUGCUGCCAUGGCCAGAUCCAUCCCUAACCUACAGCCUUCAAGGGCGCGCAUCCCCUCCCCUCCUCCUCCUCCCGGGCAGCGACUGGGCCACCAAAAGCUCCAUCGCCGGCGGCCAGGGCGCUCCCUCGCCGCUCACCAUAACUGCCUGCCCGCCAUGCCCGGAUCCACCCCGCGUAUAGAAGUGUUGCAACCAUCACCUAAAAAAGCUUCAACGGCCAUUCAAAAAAGCUUCAACCAUAGACAUAGAAAGCUUCAAUGGCACUGCACAACAAGGGGGAAGCUGCAACCAUAGUUGAAUUUUGCUACCACCGGCGAAGCUUUUUGCUACAUCCAUCAGGCGGAGCUCGGACCCUCGUGACGACGAAAACGAUGUUUUGCUGCAACCGUAGCAGGAUUUUGCUACAACUAGCAUCAUUUUUUGCUACCACGGCAACCGGCGGAAGCAGCGACCCGCAGUGCUUUUCCAGCAAAUGAUUUUUGUCCCGGCAAAACCCAGAGCUAGAACCAGCUUUUGUUUUUGCUACAACCUGCAAAUCGAGAGCUGGAACCAACAACAUUUUUUGUUGGAAUCAAAAGAAGCAGGGGCUUCAACGGAUGUACGUCAGAGCUGCAACCAGUGCUGAAAAAUGCUACAUCCGGUAGCCACGAAAGCUACAACCAGCUUGAAAAAUGCUUCAACUGGAUAUGAGGUAGUUGGGGGUCGGCAUCUCGCAGCGACAAAAAGCUGCAACCGGCUUGGAGGAAAGCUACAACGCGCUUCUAAAAAAGCUUCAAACCGAGAACGGCUAGCUAACAAUGGUGAACGGCGGCGACGGAGCUGCAUGGGCGCGCGGUGCUGCGACGGGCACGCGGCGAGCUAUGAUGGCAGACUGCGACAAUGCUGGAACCCUCACCCGGCGGUGCUGCAACCAGAGGGAGGGAGACACGCCCGGCCCGACGGAGCUGCAUACGGCGAACGCCCCAGGUGAGCUGCGACGGCGAGCAGCCCCGGCGAGCUGCGACGGCGAGCUGCGACGGCGAGCGGCCCCGGUAAGCUGCGACGCGGCGUCCAAGGGCGAGCACGAGGAGGCUGACCCGCGGAGAUCCGUUUUUUUCCUGCGUUUACGCGUGCGUGCGGGAGGAAGAAGAAGCCGGGGGCGAUUCGUUUUUUUUCCUGGAUCCAACGACCCGCGCGGCUCACAUCCAACGGCCUGGGCUAGACCGGCCGAAACUUUCGGCUGGCGCACCGGCGCCUAUCAGCGCCCUAUUUGUAAAGGUAGCAAUUAAAGGGAAAGAGGAGGAGUUUCCAUCAUGCCUGUACGCUUCCUAUUUUGUGUGCGUUUUCUCUUCGGGUAUGUGUGUGUCGGCGACGGAGCUGCAUGGGCGCGCGGUGCUGCGACGGGCACGCGGCGAGCUAUGAUGGCAGACUGCGACAAUGCUGGAACCCUCAGCCGGCGGUGCUGCAACCAGAGGGAGGGAGACACGCCCGGCCCGACGGAGCUGCAUACGGCGAACGCCCCAGGUGAGCUGCGACGGCGAGCAGCCCCGGCGAGCUGCGACGGCGAGCUGCGACGGCGAGCGGCCCCGGUAAGCUGCGACGCGGCGUCCAAGGGCGAGCACGAGGAGGCUGACCCGCGGAGAUCCGUUUUUUUCCUGCGUUUACGCGUGCGUGCGGGAGGAAGAAGAAGCCGGGGGCGAUUCGUUUUUUUUUUCCUGGAUCCAACGACCCGCGCGGCUCACAUCCAACGGCCUGGGCUAGACCGGCCGAAACUUUCGGCCGGCGCACCGGCGCCUAUCAGCGCCCUAUUUGUAAAGGUAGCAAUUAAAGGGAAAGAGGAGGAGUUUCCAUCAUGCCUGUACGCUUCCUAUUCUGUGUGCGUUUUCUCUUCGGGUAUGUGUGUGUUGGGGAGGGAAAAAAUAGAUGGGCUAAGCCCAUGUGACUUUAGAAAGAAAACAAAAACAAUUGGAUGAAUCCAGGGAAGAGAAGAGAGAUGUACAGAGGGACCUCCUAUUUGCCGCAAACUGUCGAUGGUUCGCGCAGGGGAUAAGUGACUUGGGCCGGCCCAUUUUAUGGUUGGCGCUGUGAAAAAUCAACAAAAAAACGGCGUACCGGUUGGGAAUCGAACCCGCGCCCUGCAGAAUAGAGGACGGCGCACCUAGCCAGCACGACCGGCUGACACUAGUGGAACGUGCGCAACGCGGUACCUAAACAAAUGAAAGGCAGCAGCAAAAUUCCGGUAAAAAAUUUGGCCAAAACGUGUGUGCGUAUAUCCAUUCAGAAACAUAAUUUUUCUAAAUAUAUCCAUCUAGAAACAUUUUUUGAACAUAAUUUUUCUAAAUUUAUCCAUUUAGAAACAUUUUUUGAAUAAAUAAACCAUUUUUCAAAAUGCAAACAUUUUACGAAAUUACCACAGACUAUGUUCCCGUUUUCACAAAUGUCAAUAUAUUUAGAAAAAAACAUUUUCGAAAUUUGCAAACUAACUUUUCAUAACUCAAACAUGUUUUGUAAAAGAGGGAACAAUAUUGACAACGAGAACAUUUUUCAAACUGUGAACAACUUUUUCAAUUUGCGAGCAUUUUCUAAAACAGGAACAAAUAUGAAAAAUGCCCCACAAUUUUGAGCAUUUUUUCAAACACAACUAUUUUCUGAAAUUUCCCGAAUUUAUUUUAAAUUUGCGAACAAAUUAUGAACACAUGAUUUUGUUGAAUUUUUGAACAAAUUAUGAAAACAGAAACAUUUUUUCAUAAAUAAACAUUUUUUUGAAAAUACGAACAUUUUAUGAAAUGACCAAACAUUUUUUAAUUUUUGAACAAAUUUCAGAAAAGAGGAACCUUUUUUAAAUCUGCGCAAAUUUAUGAAUUUGUGAACAAAAUUGAAAAUUUUCAAACAUUUUUGAACUUUUUUAAAGAAGUUCACAAUUUUUUCGAAAUUCCUAAACAUUUUUUGAAACACGAACAUUUUUCUAUUGUAAACAAAUUACAGAAACAAGAACAUUGUUUGACACACGAAUAUUUUUUGAAUUGCAAACAUUUUUUGAAAACAAGAACAAAUUUUGAAUUUCGUGAACAUUUGUCGAAAUAGUAAACUAAUAUAGAAAAUGGUAAUUCUUUUUGAAACAGCAUUUUGAAAAAUAAGAACAUUUUCUGGAAAUCAUGAACAUUUUAUUAAACAGGAACAUUUUUCCAAAUUCCAAAACAAAAUUUGGAAAUGUGAACAUAUUUUGAAAUUCCUGGAAAAAAUUUGCAAACACGAUUUUUUAAAGUGGAAGAAUUUUAAACUCCUAAAAAUAAAAAUAUGAAGAAUUUUUGGAAUUUGUGAAGGAAAUUUGAAAACAAGAACGUUUUUUAAAUUUAUGAAGAAAAUGAACAAAAAGAUUCCAAACAUUUUUUGUAAAACAAGAACAAUUUUUGAAAUGCCCAAAUAUUUUUCCCAAACCACGAACAUUUUUUAAAUAUUGAACAUUCUUUAGAAAUACGAACAAAUUUUAAACUGCUCAAACAAUUUUCGAAACAAAAAAAAAGAAAAAAGAACACAUAAAAAAAAGAAAGAAGAAAAAGAAACAGAAAAAAGGAUUAAAGAGAUGAAACAGAAAAAUAAAAAAUAAAAACGAAGGAAAAAAUAAAAUUGGUAUAAAAAUAAAAAACCGGUUCAGGGAACCUUCUGGAAGGUUCCCAAAACCGGCUGCCUCGCUGUCAGGAAGUGGGCCGGCCCAGGUCUUGCGCUGGGGGGAGAUCGCCUGUGUGAAUGCUUGACAUUUUGACGCAGUUAGCGUCAAAUAGAAAUUUCCAUGUACAGAUGCAUGUAUUGGUGGAUUUGUCUCAGAAACAAUGUAUGCGUGGAUGGAAAGUAUGAGUAAGAUAGGUGGACAAUUCAAAUGGUAGAACGUAUCUAAUGGUCAGAUGGAAUUUGGCCCGAGAUUGAGAAAAGGAAAAGAAAUUGAUUUUCAUUUUAGGAAAUCUAGAGAAGGAAAAGAAGCUCGAGCAAUCAAACGAAUUUCAGAAAAACCAAAGAAAAACAAAGGCGCCCAACUAAAAGAAAUGAAGUAAAAUCAAAUUUUUAAUUUAGGUUCACGUUAGUUCAAAUUAAAUCCUUCAAAUUAUAAAAGUCCAAUUCAAGCUUUAUUAACAAAUAAAACAAAUGAAAAUUUCUCGGCCUGAUUUUUGGAAAACUUUUUCUUAAACAUCCCGUGAAUCAGGAUGUUACAGAGAGAGAGAGGUGUCGAUAAAAACAAAAUAUGUUUGAUUAGCUUCACUUUUGUUGCUAAUCUAAAUGGCCGAUACACAAUUGUCGCUCUAAGAAAUAAAAUGGCCGAUAUAUACCUAUCAUCAAAAGCACGUACAAAAUGGCAGAUGGAGUGUUGACAUCGUGCUUAAAACAAACUCCGUGCAAGUUAUUUUUCGGCACACAAGUUUUGCCAAAAAUAGGGGGGCAUGUGUUGACACCAGAUUUUGGUACAGUCAACAACUUAAUUAAAGUGGCUUCAAAUGAAGAAGUGAUGUACAUGAAAGAGUUUUGUAUUGUCAAGGUGAACAUCUUUCAAGUUUGGGUCAUCGCCAUCCGAUCUCAUCUCGAGGGCCGAAACUAUGCUCAAAGCACUGAGAUUUUAUAUCCAGAGCACGGUUCGGCCGAUUAUGACUCAAGGGAAGCCUCAAAUGAGAAAACUUUCUACAUGAAUUGUCUUUGUCUCGUAAAAACGAUUGAUUUUGAUAUAAAAUCGUCUCAAUCCAAGUUCGUAUGCAAAAGUUAGAGCCAUCAGAAAGCGGCCCUACCAUGAGGCAAAAUAUGGGGCGAGGGAGCACACAAACGCCUCAUUAAUGUCUGAUGGGUCGCGCGACCUGUUCGGCCCUCAAGAAUGCUCUGAAUCGAAAAACGUUCAACACAAAAGUUGUUCAUCUUGUCGAAAUGGUCAAAAUUUCUUUUGGGCUCAUCUUCAUCCGAGGUUGUUUGUGGCCUGUAGGAUCUAAAAACUGAGCUGCUGUUCCAGAUUUACCUAAAUCCGAAUUCGGUUAAUUUUGGAAAGAUUUAGAAUCUUUUUUUUGUACAGGAAGUCCAGCCGCCUCAUAAAUAGAUGAGAGGUGACGUCCGAUUGAACAACGCACAAUCGAUCAAUUCACCUACCUCUUUUUACCUUUACUUUUAUCUUCUCCCUUUGUUCUUCUUCUUCCUCGUUCUUUGUUCGUUCUUCUUGUUGCAGGGCGGCGAACCUCGAGGCCCUAUGGGCGGUCAGGCCGAUCUAGUGCAGCCCAUAGUCGUUGCGUGCCCUGACGGGGUCCCUCCCGAGCGUGUGGGUUUUGGAUCUACAUAAGCGUCCGCCGGAUUGCUUGCGUACCGUGCUUCCGGCCCGGUCUCCUUCGACGUGAGCUGUGGUGCACCACCUUCGGUGUUGGAGGUACACGGUGACGUGUUCGUGUUUCAACACGAAGGUUUGAGCUUGACUCACAGCGAUGCAGGGGGCGAAGGUCUAGUGCAUGCCGGUGGCAUGAACCUCGAGUGUUGUUGCCUCGCCGAUAUUUCGCACGAGAGCUCCUAUACACCACCCGUGAGCGUUCGAGCGACGUGGCUUCGCUGAAGCGAAGCGCAAACGGGCCGGCCCAAUAAGCACGUGUCGAGCAAAAAUUCAAAAACGUAGCGCGCAAGUUGGGAUCAAACUGCCGACCUUAUUCUGGAUCCAAGGGAGCCAACCAGCCGAGCUAGCUACCUACAACGGUAAAAUUGCAGUGCUUGUCUUAAAGUAUAAAAGGCAACGGCAAAUCAUUUUAUUUUUAAAAUAAAUAUUUUUAUAAUAUGCGUUGAACAAACUUUAAAAUAUAGAGAACUUCUUUAAAACAAACACUUGAAAAUUUUAAAAUACACAACUGAACAUUUUGUAGUGUACGUUGAACAAAUUUUUUAUAUAUGAUGAACAAAUUUUAAAUACAUAAUGAACUUUUAUAAUAUAUGUUGAACAAUUUCAUAAUAUACUAUGAACAUUUUUGUAAUACACGAUGAACAAUUUUAGAAUGCAAGAUGCACUAUUUAAUAAUAUACGAUGAACAUUUUCUUAAGUUGAAGAAGAUUUUUGUAACAUGCAGCUUUUUAUAUAAUGCGCAAUAAAGAGAAUAAAAAUAGAAAGAGAAAAUAAAAAGGAAACAUAAAAGAAAAAAGGAACCAAAAAAGAAAGAGAAAAAACAGGAAGAAAACAACUGAAAACCGGGCAAAACAGUGAAAACACUGGAAGAAAAAUCGUAGAAGAAAAACGAAAAAAAACCCGCAAGAAAUAGAGAAGGAAGCGGCAGCGACGCAUCAAACGGUAAACGCUAAUCCCAUACAUGGGCCGGCCCAACCGAUGGCUCCCUGAGCGAAAGCAGAACAUUCUGACGCUAACCAGCGUCAAAUAAGGUUUGCCCUUUCGCACAAGCUCCGGGUUCCUGCAGGAAAUGAAUGGAGCAUGUAUGUAGGGCGUGGUCAACGUAGUAAACGUACAAAAAGCUACUAUAUUGCUCAACGUGGUCGAUCGGUAUGUAGGGCCAGUUCUUUUGGGCGAUUCUCCCAGAAUCGCCCCCUUCCCCAGCUUCUCCCAGAAUCACCACUUCAUAUUUUUUUUACAAUCCUAACUAAUUAGACAUUAACUAGACAGGAUUGUAAAAAAAAUAUGGAGUAGCGAUUCUGGGAGAAGCUGGGGAGGGGGGCGAUUCUGGGAGAAUCGCCCAAAAGAACUGGCUCGUAAUGUGCCUGGAUACUUCGAGGCCGACGUUGUGGGGGAAGAUGGUGGCGCCGAUGACAUUGUUGUUGCCGUGGACGACAUCGAUGUUGUAGAUGACGGGGACGCCGAGGCGGGACGAAAGGGCGAGGCGCUGCAUGCCGUCGACCAUACCAGCCCAGUCGGACGGGGAUGCGCGUUCCUAGGGCGGCCUGCCGCCGCCGUUGAGGAGGCUGCCGACGCCGAGCUUCGUGAGGGCGCGGGGCGGCGCCACGGAGAGCUCGAUCUGGGCCAUCUGGCCCGCCUUCUCCUGCAGCGUCAUGCGGACCAGCAGGUCGCGCACGCGCGCCUCUACCGGCGCCGAUGCGUCCUUGUACAGCGGCCGCUCUUUGCCUAGGCCUUGCGCUGCCGCCAUGCCGGCCGGUGACGGUGAGCACAAGGCAAGUAUUGCUUUUGUUCCGGCCACCUAGGAAUUUCUACAAAAUGUUCACAAUAUUCAAAAAAUGCUCGAGAAGAGCAAGUGGUCGUGCGAGAGUGGCUAUCGGCAUGACUAGAAACCAUGUGGGCUUUGCCCACGCAGGUACGGAUCUUGACGACCACGCCCUUUUUUUCUUCUAAAAAAUGUUCGAGAAUUUAGAAAAAUGUUCUGAAAUUAUAAAAAAUGUUUACAAAAUUCAAAUAUUUUUGUUGUUUCAAGAAGUAUUAAGUAACUCAAAAAAGUUUGUCUAGAAGAAAAAAUGUCCAUCAAUUUCAAAAUUAGUUCUCAAAUUUCAAAAAAUGGUUACGUGUUCCAAAAAAUAUACGCAAUUUCAAAAAAUAUUCGUGAAUUUGAAAAAAGUUCAUGAUUUUAAAAAUAUCAUUAAUUAAAAAAUGUUCAUGAUUUCAAAAAAACAAUCAUGAUUUAAAAAAAUAUUGAUGAUUUUAAAAUUGUUCAUGAAUUUGCGAAGAAGUUCACUUGUUCCAAAAAUGUUAGAUAUUUUUUAUAAAAUGUUCUGCAAUUAAAACAAAAUUCACGAAUUUGUAAAAAAAAUGUUCAUAAAUUUGGAAAUAUUCUUGAUUUUGAGAAAUGUUCAGGAGUGCAAAUAUAAUGUUUUCAAUCUGAGAAAAUAUGUUUGCAAAUUUGAAAGAUGGACAAACAAGAAAAGGAAAAAAAUAAGGAAAAAAUAAGGACAAAUAAAGAAUGAAUGAAAAAAGAGAAAAAGGAAAGCAGAGCAGUAACGAACAAUGAAAAAAGAAGGAAUUGUCUCAAAAAAAUGAAAAAAGAAGGAAAAGGGGAAAGAAAUUAAAAAACUGGAAAAAAAUAAGGAAAAACGAGAAAACCGUUUCUUGGAAGAUUCUAGAACCUUCACCAAACCGGUGGGGGAGGGAUCCCGCAAUGGGUAGGCGGCUGGCAACCUACGCGUCAAAUAGGAGUGGCCUUGAAUUUGUUUUGAGAAAAAGAUGUAAAUUCACUUUUGUUUGGGCAACGCGGCAAACCAUGGGCCCGAAAUCAAUUCAGCUCGCCUCCAAUCCGAGCUCGAUUGAUUUCGACUCCCACUCGUCGUCAUCGACCGGAGCCGAAAUAGAACGGAAUUAAAAGCUUCGGCCUUUAUAAUGCCCAGACAACAUCUGUUCCAGCGUCCCCCAAAUUGGAAGCUAGGUUUCCUCGAUCAAAUUCUCCCCAAUUUUGGCGGCGAGGUCGGUUAGUCGAGGCGAACCGCGGGAGAUCGACGGCCGGCGAGGAAGUAGCGGCGCACCACCAGACGCAUGGCGGCGAAGGCAGCUGUGACCGCCGGCGAUGUGUGUGUGCUGAAGCGGUGCCAGCAGCAUGGCGGUCAAGAUCUGAAGGAGAAGAAGGGAACCAAAAGGAAAGCAGAGGAGGCACCAGAAGGCGACGAAUCUCCACUGGAGGUCUGCUCCAUCAGAAGGAAAACAGCCGGGAUCGACUGCUCUGAGUUGGGGCAGGGAGCCACACCGGCGACGGCGGCGGCAGCCAGGCGCGAGGAGGCUCCGGAGAGAAAGAUGACGAGGCUGCCGCAGGAGGAGGUGGAUUCCAUCCUAACCAAGGAGAUGGAUGACGACUCUCUCCCUCCCGAGUACAAGGCCCUGAAGCGCCACAACCCUGCCCUGAUUCCUUCGCCGGAAGAGGAGAUGGACGAGGACGUGGUGAGCUUCUACAACGUCGUGCGCUUUUUCUACGAGAUUGGAGAGGAUUUCAGGGAAUUCCAGGCCUGGGUCCGCACCGAGUACGCCAAGAAUGGCUACGUCGAGGUGGAUGAUGAGUACCUGCGCCAUCAACAGGAGAUGGAAGCAAUGAACGAAGCAGCACGCAAGGAGGCACUCAAAGCCUUCGAUUUUUCAGACUUGCUCGACUUCUGAUUUGGUGCAGCAUCAGCCUGUGAUGAUUGUAGAUGGAGUUCAUUUUCUCCAGUAUUAUCAUCCAACGACUGUAUUAUGCAACCAAUGUAAUAAGAACUCACUUUGUCGAGUAUUCGAUUCUCUUCUUACAAAUCAGAAGGCAAAAGGGUGAGAUUGUUUCAAAUUCAGGAGUUAAGUAGAAACUGAAGCGUAUCAUGUUAAAAGGGAGGCUAAUGACACCGUAUUAUGCGGCCAAAUUAGCUUCUCCGGCUAAUGUUGUAAAGACCUGGAUGUAUCAGGUUCCUGAACCUUUGUAUGACUGUGUUCAGCUUGACACUCAUGCCGACAAGAGUAAUACUGAUUGCUAAUUCUUAAAUAAAAUAAACCCAAACAUUGAAAUAAAUAUUAGUUCUUUUAGAGAUCAAGAGCAAUUGUGAAUGUAGUGAAAAUAAACUGUUAAGAAGGAGAUCAGCAAAGAAGGUAAUGGCAAAAUUACUGAAUCAUAGGAGUUGUCAGUAGUUUUGCCUUUAUACUCCAUAUUAAUCCGUUAUUUUGGGUAAUUAACUAAACUCCUGUAACUUUACUGAAUCAUCAUAGAAGUUGUCUUUGCCAACCCGAGUAUUGCUUUACAACAAUUCGAUGGCCUGUGUAUUUGUGUAGCGUUCUGCAGAUUCAUACGGCUCUGAAUGCUCUUCUGUAACUGAUGACUCAAAAUGAUUGUACAUUGAAACUGAAGCCUUUGGAAACUGAAACAGAAACCUUACGUGAGAGCAGGCAGAGGCGCGGAGUCAAUGGUUAUGCUCUUGGACAAUAUUCUGCAGGUUAAACAACAUUCAUUAAGCACCCUUGUUUGGUGGUAUUUUCUCUGUAGCAUCCCACUGUAUCUUCAGUAAGCCUGUCCAAUUUCAGGAGCUUGUGGGGGACCAGAUUCUGCAUUAAUAUUGAAUUUACAUGCAGCAGGGAUGAGGGAUUUGCCAGAUAGUUAUUACUUUAUCAUGCUUACUUUGAGCACUAAAAUUCGUUCAGUGUAAGCAAACUUGUGUUGAAAACCUCAGCUCUUUCUUUUGUACGUAAAAUACAAGGGUGUGCCAUACAUUGUACUCUCCUACCUCCAUCUCUCUCAGGAUUUACAUCUUUACCCAUGAGACUAGAAUGCUCUCUGCUCUGUCUGCCUUCAUCAUUUCUCUAGCAUGAUGUUAGGUUUUGCUGCUAACAUUUGACAUCGCCGCUAAUCAAUUUGGAUUCCAUAUCUUUUUCGAGGUACUCCACUUCUCAUGCGGAGACAGUGGCCUAUUGUUAACUUGUGUUGACUAGUGUUUUUUCAAACAAUUAUUGUUUAGCAAGGACAUGUUGACUAGUGUUUUUUUGUUUGGAUAAAAAGAGUUUUCAAGAAAUUGUGGAGAGCUUUCUAGCUUGCAGUGCCUGGCCUGUUCAUACUAACAGUCAUGAUAUAUGUGAUGAUUGUAGAUCGAUCACAGUUUCUUCAGUCUCAUCCAUUGACUAUUUAUUACUGCAGCAAACAAAACCUUGUUGUAUCCAUCGCUUUGUUGUAUCCAUCAGUUUGCCAUGAGCAUUCAGCUCUGUUCUUACACAUUGGAAAAACGUGUGUUGUCUUGCAGAAACUAGAGUUAUCUUGUGGUGCUUGUGCUCUCAAUCACCUCAUUUAUGUGUCUGGUUUGUGAGAGGUAAGAGGGGAUGCAAAGCUGCAGGCUUUCCACAUCCUAUUUUUCAAACUCUCCUUCGAUGAGAUCCGAGAAAAAAACUAUAUACUUUUGUUAUGUAUACGAAACCUUGCCACCAAUGUUCAGCUUCGGUAUCUCAAUGUGGUUAGGGGAGUACAAAUCAAAGUCGCAAUGUAAUGUUGUUCGGCUCAUACGAGCAAAGGGGAAUGACAAAGGUACUUGGUUUUUAAUUUGCCGUUCAAGAAAAUGUUUGUGCAAAAACACAAAGAACCAAAUGAUUAGAGAGAACUGUAUGAGGGAAGCUAGGGCAACUCUAGCAGAUUUUGGAGCAUAUAGGCUUAGGUUCUAUCGACACAACGCAGAUUAAGCAAUGAGAAUCACAAUUAAAUAUUGUUAUUUACAUUGCACAAUAUUCCUACCGUCCUCGAGAAUGUUCGAUCACCAUAAGCAAUACAACCGACUUGUCCUUAUCAUAAUUAAAAUUGCGCCACUUGCUGCACUCUUUCACCUUUUAUUGUUAUUUACAUUACCUUGCAACUCCACCCUCACAAACAACUACAAUGUUACACAUUUUAGUACUUACAGCGAAUCAUUGCUAUUUUUGCACUUACCAAUUCCUUCUGCUCCUUGUGCGAUCAAUAAUUUACCUAUAAAAAAUAUCUACAAUUGACAUCCUAGACUUGUGGGAUGUUAGACUCUUUUCUUGGGCCGUUGACGGGGAUUGUAACACUUUUGGUAAGUUCAAAGUGGUAAGGAAAUCAUUUUACUCUGUGUGCUAUUUUAUUGUUUUCUACUAGUUUUAUCACUAUGGCUUCAUAUAUUAUUGAUACUCUACUUGAAACUUUCCUAUCAAUUGGUAAUAAGGUUUGUGAGGAACCUAUUAAAGGAAAAACAAGAUGUUUAUAGAGUACCUAUUGGUUAUAUCAAACAUGUCAAAGCUAACAGCUAUGCAGGAAAUGAGAAAGAUCACCCUGAUGAUCGUAUUCAUUCGCUUGAUGAAAUAUGUUCCCUCUUUAAAACUAAUGGGUUAUCUCGUAAUGACUUGAAGAAGAUAUUAUUCACUUGCUUAAUAGAGGGUGAAACUCUCAAAUGAAAUCAGUAUCUUGAAAACAUUUAUGCCAUGAAUUGGGAAUGGCUAAGUGGUGAAAUUCGUAAGNNNNNNNNNNNNNNNNNNNNNNNNNNNNNNNNNNNNNNNNNNNNNNNNNNNNNNNNNNNNNNNNNNNNNNNNNNNNNNNNNNNNNNNNNNNNNNNNNNNNNNNNNNNNNNNNNNNNNNNNNNNNNNNNNNNNNNNNNNNNNNNNNNNNNNNNNNNNNNNNNNNNNNNNNNNNNNNNNNNNNNNNNNNNNNNNNNNNNNNNNNNNNNNNNNNNNNNNNNNNNNNNNNNNNNNNNNNNNNNNNNNNNNNNNNNNNNNNNNNNNNNNNNNNNNNNNNNNNNNNNNNNNNNNNNNNNNNNNNNNNNNNNNNNNNNNNNNNNNNNNNNNNNNNNNNNNNNNNNNNNNNNNNNNNNNNNNNNNNNNNNNNNNNNNNNNNNNNNNNNNNNNNNNNNNNNNNNNNNNNNNNNNNNNNNNNNNNNNNNNNNNNNNNNNNNNNNNNNNNNNNNNNNNNNNNNNNNNNNNNNNNNNNNNNNNNNNNNNNNNNNNNNNNNNNNNNNNNNNNNNNNNNNNNNNNNNNNNNNNNNNNNNNNNNNNNNNNNNNNNNNNNNNNAGUUCUUUCUGAGGAUGUUUUAAUAAUAAAACUAUCGAGGAAGCUUGGGAUCUUCUUAAUCUUAUUACUUCCAACAACUAAGGGUGAGAAAUGGAUAAAGGUAACAUAGUAGGUAAAACUAUUGAAUACGAAUGCAUUAAGACUUUCACUGGAACUCGCGAAUUUAGUGAUAUGAGUACUAAUAUGGUUUUGAUUCUGAAGCACUUGCAAGUCUUUGUAAGUUUUUUGCAUCCAUAUUAACAUUCUUAAGUCUAGCUAGGAGAAAUAUCAUGAACCUUCCUGAGUUUUACAACGAAGGUAACAAAUCUUCCUUCUCCUAGGAAAAGAACACAAUUAUGUGUUUGCUUUUACUUCUCUCAUCAUAAUCAAGUUGUAGAUGUGUGAUCCUUAAAGCACAUGGCAAUGCGAGAUGAUAAUUUAUUAUUGGACAAACAAUUGAGCUAACAUAAUUCCAAGAACACAAUUAUUGUUAACAAAGUUUCCUCCUCCCGCUUAGUUCACCUUCAUGAAGGAGAGAAGUUGGCGUUUCUUGGACAACUCCUGCUCAUGCAACUCUGCCUUGUAUUUUCCAUCUUUCCCCUCAAAGUGUGUCACAUCAAUGAUGAGCUCGUAGUUCAUGCCAGACAUGAGUUGUUGUCUGCCACUCACCACCUUGUUGAACUUGACCAGGCAGUUCACAUGCUUGCUGAAUUCCAACACCGCCCAAUCGCCAAGCUCCUGGAUGUGUUUGUCAUUUAUGUUCUUGAUUGGUUCCCAUCCAUUCGCUCCUGUCGUGUUCCACAAUCGGGUUCCCAUCGAUUCACCACAGCCGUGGCUGGUACACCGAUGGCAUACAUGAUCACAACAACAACGAUGAGUAGGAAACUGGUUGUCCUCAUGGCGUAUAAACUUCGCGAUGAUGAAAAUUUUGGUUUGCUAGUGAGGUUUUGGAGCUUGAGAUAACGAGUCAGUUUAUGUGGGGCUCUGGUGAACUGGCAAUGUGAGUGGUUCCACAACAAUCGAGAUGGGGG